UUUUUUUUUCUUUGUGUUAGAGAUAGAGCGGAACUAUAUGAGAAAAAAGACAAGUGAAGAAGGGUGGAGGGAGAAUUGAAGGAUAACGCAUGAAACAAAAAUUUGAAAGUGAAAACACUUAAAACUGUGUUUGACUAGUUUUUUUUUUUUUUUUUGGGUAGUAUUUUCUUCUCUUUCUUUAACAAAAAGAUGAAAACGAAACAACAAAAAAAAAGUUAUCAAACAAGUGCUAAAGUUUGCCAAAAUAUGAAGAGGGUUCCAACCUGAGCAUCCAAUUCUCCUAUCUGACCCUGCAUUGGUAUCAUGACAUAAAGGAUCUUGCAAUUUGGUUGAAUUUAACAUAUUCUUUGUAGCUAUAUACAAUCAAGCUUAGGAUGGACGUGUGAUUGAAGAGUUCAAGAUGAUGGAACAGAUUCCAAAAGCAACUUGCCAAAACCAAGCAUCCAUACAUCAACAUAUACACCAUGUUUCCCGUCCACCAAUGAAAAGAUGCAGACAUAGACAAAUUGGUCUAACUCACAUCUACGUUCGGAAUCAACCUUUGAAUAUAUGUUCUUCUCUCAUCUUGGAAAUUUGGAGAAAAAAAGGUGCGUUCUUAUCUACCCAUCAGUCCACUGACGAUGUGGAAAAAAAGUUGGGAGUUAGUUGAGCCUUUUGAAGCCUUCUGUUUCCAUCAAUUCUCAUAAAGGAAGAACCUGAAUUUUCCUUUAAUCUCCAUGGAGCUUCUUGGCAGUUUCAGCUCCAAUUGCAUGUCACCAUUUACAUAUGAAUUUACAGACUUUGAGUCCUAGAGACACGUGUCAAUGAACCCAUAAUUCACCGUCGAGAACAAGGAAAAUUUGGGAAGAAAAUAAGGAAAAUGAUUUCCACAUUCCUGUUUUCUCCCUUGUUUAUGUCCUUUGAUUCUCUUUCGAUUUUCUCAAUCCAAGCAAAAGAAAAGAGAGGUGCGAUGAGGGAGAAAAGAAGAGUGUGGAAAUCAUUUCUGUUUCGGAAAAGAAAAGACAGUGAAAAGAAGGCCUUACAUUUUUUGCGAUUCCAGGUAAUAAAUCAUCAAUCACCAAUAUGUAAUUCUCAUUAUUUGGCCAAAGAAUAAGAAGAAGAGGCAGCAUGUUUGAGAGGCAGUUUGAGAACAUGUGCACCACCUUCACCUGAUCCAAGCCCUUCUUCAUCAUCCACAAUGAAGACAUCCUCAGGCACCCUCAGAGCUCCAUGCACCAGAACAACCGUGAGGCCAAUGGAGAGUCCGGCGACGAUAUGAUAUCUCGCAUUGGUAAGGAAAAGUGCGACGACUGUGACCACCAACAGAGCCAUCGUCACCACUCGUUCGUUGAUUCGGUACCCUAGAAUCAUCAAGGGUUGGUCAUGCAGGAAAAAUAGAAAGAACCAUGCAACCAUCAUGACAACGAAGACGAUCAACGAAAUAGGGUGCCAUAGGAGGCUCAGGAAGAGGAUGAACAAUGUGAUGAUGGCAUAGUUCAUGCGAUAGAAGGCGACGUUCGUCUUGAUUCUGUGGAUUGAUUGGUUGAAGGUGGAGGGAAGGGUGAGAUUUUGCAGUUGUAUCAUCUCCAGCCAUGGUCUUCGGUUCUCUAGGCCUGUCUGGAUCUGUUCUUUUGCGCGUGUGACGAAAUGUUGGUUCGAUGAUGGCAGGGGUUCGGUCGUGAUAGUCCCGUACGUUGUCAUUGUCCGGUGGCGGAGAUGGAGAGAUGGAGAGAAGAAUAGAAUGGUAUGGAGGUCUGUGGCAGAGACAGUGCCGAAUGCGUGUAGCUUGGAUAUCUAAUUUUGGGGGAGAAGUUUAGAUCACUGAUCACGUAUCAGCUACGCGUUAGGUUGAUGUUUAAGCAAGUUUUUUACGAUCACAUGAUGUUUUUGUUACAAAAUUAUAUAAGAUGUUUUAUUUAUAACAUCGGAUGUACAAAAAAUGGUUCAGCUAAAAUGGACGGUGACGAUUGUUCCAUACACGGGAGACCUUUCAAAUCGACAAAGAAGCCUAAACGGUUGACAUUCAUCAACAGAAACAUGGCACAGAAUAGUAGAAGCUCGUUUAACAAUUUCUCCGACUCGUCUAUGACUCACUGAGUGGCUGGGACUUCUCCUUGCUGCACCCUCCACGGUCCUCCGUAAAACUUUGGCUUCAUAAGAGGCACGGCCUGCCCAGGAUGUUCUUCCCAGUACUUUUCCUGCACAAUACCAAAGGUGAAAUUUUUAUGCGAUCUUCAAAACUUGACAUGAGAAGAUUUAUCUCCAUUGAAUUUCGGAUAUAUAUGUCAACAUGUAGAUGUGUAUUUACCGAUUCACUGAUAUCUAAAUGUCAAAAAGAUAUAAAGCUACUCAGCAUAGAUCUCCUAAAAGUAGAUGAAGGGAGCUUGAUAGGAUUGAAGAUCAUCGUGUAUAAACGAGCAAGUAACGAAGACAAGAGUAGUUAUGUGAGAUCAGCAGGCGCAUUGAGAAUUGUUGACAGAAAUACUAUGGCACCAGAAAUAUGUAGGAAUAAUUUCCAAAACAUGAAUUAAAACUGGGGAGGAACAAAACUGGAAGGGUGAGAUGGUUGCGUGGUAACCGUUGAAUUUGAAAUUCAAGUUGCAGCACCAUUUGAACGAUUGGCAGCCAUCACUUGGUUUAUUUGGCUGCAAGCGAUUUGAAUUAAUGCAGAAAGAUGUAUCCCAAAUUGGUACUUUUUGAUGGUUAUGUUAUGGCCUUUGAUCUUGUAUGUGAUUCAAUCUAAUGGCCAUUAUACGAUUCAUAAAAUAAACAACUCUUCAUUGAAGAGCUGUGACUGAUAUUUCCGAAUGGGCAUGACUCGUUUGAAGAGAUACAUCAAUCUCUAGAAAUAGAGAUUGUUUCCAGCAUAUUUGGAUAUAACCAAGAAGUUCUAUUUCUCCCUCUCGAAUUCACAAGUCUCCAUUAUUAUUAUUUUCAUACAAAAACCUAGAAACUAAUAACCUGCAUAAUUAGUUUCUAGAAUCCUUGAGUUUCUUGUAAGUCUUCUAUCGGUGUUGGGUUGUAAGUGCAAGAUGCAGAUCAACAAUAGGAAGAUGCUAGGCUUCAUUGUAUCCACAGGCUCAUUCGCAUACUCCCCUCUGCACACUAGAUGUGGGGGCGAAUAGAGUCUGAAAGAUAGCAUAUUUAUAUGCGUCUUGAAGCAACCGUUCAUCCUUCAUCAUAACCAUAACCCAUAUGUUCUAAAAAUUUCUCCAACAAAAUGUGAGCUACAGACAGUAGAAAUGAGACCCUAUGACUUGCCCAUCACUCAAUAGAUCCGAAAAGUAAAUCAAAUGGGCAUCUUGGGAUCGAACAGAAAGAAAACCCAAACAUGGCUUGAUGACAAACACGAGAAAUUUCCUCCUUCAGGCCAGAACUGGAAAAUAGGCAUCUUUUCCAAACCCUGUUACUCCACUACCCGUAAUUAAAAUUUAGAAACCAAAGCGAAUCAGCUCUGUGAUUAAAAGCCCGAUGCCAACAACAAUAAUCUAUCGAUGCUGAAGUAAACUAGACCUACUGAACCAAUCAAAAGUGUGAAGUCAAUUAAGCAUCAAAUGCUACUCCUUUCAUCUCCAAACCUGAUGCCAGAUCUCUGACACUCCUCUCAGCUGUACAUAAAGUAUAAUCUCAAACAAUGAUAUAUAUACCUUCAAGCAGAAGACACAAUGCCAUAAGGCAUUCUAUCAAAUUACAUCUCCUAAACGACACAUAGUUCAAACAAACUCCACAAGUUUACAGAUUUAUCAGCAAAUUGAUUUCAGUCCAAUAAAAGCUUCAAGAAGAAACCGACCUUUCUUCGGUCCAUGAUAACUAAAUCAUAGACUUAUCAGCACAGAGAUCAAUCAAUAGGUUUCAAAAUUUCAAUAACAUUUGAAGCUAAACAAGAAAAUGGAAAUUUUCUAACUUUCUAUUCCUAUAACUUAGGGCAUCAAAACUAAAAACCAAUAUAAAAAAUUUGGGUUUUGAUCAACUAAAUUAACCCAGAAAAUUAACAAUAAUAACAAUAAAUACAAGCAAAAAAAAAGAAGAAAAAAAAAAUUUGAAGACCCAAGUGAGUACCUUGUAAAGCUGCUCAGUGAUAGCAGAACCAAUGACCCCGGUGUAGAAAGCGGCGACGUAGAUGGUGACCAAUGGGGUGAACGAUUUGGGUCUGCUGUAGGGCUCCACCAUGUUCCAAAGAAUCAUCCUUUCCCACUUGGUGUAAACGUAGUCUGCGUAUUUCCUCCAUAGAUUGCUCGCCAUUUCCACCUGAUUUUAUUGAUCCGUUCGAAUUUGGUGUUUUCGCAGUGUCGCUGCGAGAGGAUAUGUAAUCUAGGGUUUCGGGUUUAUUGGAUUUUCUUUUCUUUUCCCGAGCUUUCUCGGCAGCCAAACGGACUAUUUGAGUCGGCUGGAAAGGGUAAGCGCGGAGGAAGAGGGAAGACACGGUUGCGGUUGGAAGAGAGGGAAGCACGUGACAGGGACCAAAACAUAAUUGUAAAACGACAAGUCGUUUAUCCUUUUUCUUCCCUUUUUAUUGGACAGUCGGACUUUUUUACCCCCGGAUGUUUUAUGCUAUACUUUGCAAUGGAAUAAGAAUUCGAAUUCGAGUGCAAAAGGAAAAACACAUUACUAUGGCCAACGAAUUCACCGCCACUCAAGUCUAAUAUUAGACUAUGUGGGGGUGUUUGUUUUCCCUCACUAAAGUUCACUGGACUAGACUGGACUAAGGGUUAGUCCAGUCCCGUGUUUGUUUCCCAUAGGGCUUAGAGUUAAUGAGACUAGCUCUCACUCGUCCCAACUAAAACAGGGCCUAGCCGGUCUUUGCUAAGCCCCCCAAAAACCAUGGGAUUUCUAAUCCCGUCUCCAGAACUUGCAUAGGACGAUCGCAUGCAGCAAGUCUUGUGAACUACAAAUCUGCAAGAAUGCUUCUGGGCGACUCUGUUUGCCAACCCAUGUCUAGAUCUAAAACACAGCCCUACCCACUACCUAAAUCUCAACACCAAAAUUCAAAAACAUAUAUGCAAAACGAUAACAACAACAAUCCCAAUAGCAAAAUUCUUCCUUAUUCCCGAAUAUUCCCAGAAAAUUUCCAAAUUUUUUUCCUUUGCCCCAAAAUUUUUUGGAAAGAAUGGAUAGAGAAGGGGAGAGAGUAGCUUUGGGACAAAGAGAAAUGGAGAGACAGAGAGGGAGGGGAGAGUAGCACGGGGGACGAUUUGCAAGAAAAAUGAUUUGAAGGAUGUUGUCUUGCAGGAAAGAAGAUGGAGAAAAGAGGUGAUGGGGAACGAAACUAAAGAGGAAGAAAAGGGAAGAACUCUCCAGAGAGAGCAGUGGAGUGUCUGGCUGUGUACUUCGGAAAUAAAAAAGAAAAAGCUUGAUUUAGUAAUAAAAUAUUAUUGAAUUAAUAAUAAAAUAUUAUUAAAUGUGUAUUAUAUAAUAUAAUAUUAUAGUUAUUAAUUAUCUUGUUUUUUAGUCCGACGCUGCACCAAACGCUUCACAAGCUAGUCUAGCUUAGUCUAGUCUAAGCCAGUCUAGUUUAGUCCCUGAAACUAAUCCAGUCCGAGACAGUCUGGUGCAACAAACGCACCCUGUAAGUUCUAAUCACAUAUCAUUGAAUUAUUCAAGUAGUUUAGAGCCUUGCACCCGAGGUCCUCUGUUCGAGACUUCAUCCCCCCAAUAUCGCUUGAAAAACGAAACCUGGUUGUAAACGAAAGAAUCACUCAUAUCAUAUUAUGAGCCUGGAAUUUCUUUAACCACAGAAAUUUCAAUUACAUAUAAAUGAAAUCCAGAACAAGAAUGGAAAAGAAUGUGGCAGAAUAGCAACUUGUGCUUUUGGGUUCUUUAACAUAAAUAUACAGAAUACAGGUAGAAAGCUUAAGCUGACUAUCGAUGGGUUUGAUACUAUGGACCGGUUUUCUUUACUACAAUUGCUUGAGUCGAAGAAAUUCUACGAUGAGGCAGAUUCUAAGGGCUUGUCCUUCGGAGCUGAGGAUGGUUCCCAUAUAAGAUCUCCAACUCCCUUCGGAGGGCCAAUGCUGCAACGAUCUGUGUUGUGUAAUGCUAUAGCAUCCUUUAACUUCUGUAACUGCAUAAGGUUAUGAACACAAUCAGGUAGUACUAAAACUUGGCCAUCCACACUACCCGCAUGACAAAUAGAGUUAACAAGAAGAUAACGGAAGAUGAUUGUUCUCAACAGUAUGACAAUCGAGUUUACUAUAAUCAACAUAAUCCUAAUUUAUUCAGCUAUACUAAUCGGAGUUGGAGUGCUAAGCCAAUGAUGAUUCUGAGAUUUGAAAACUAGGUGCUUCAGCCGGUAUAAACGGUUUUUUAGGAUGGAAAAGAUAAGAGAGACUAAUAAACAUAGGAUUCAACGUACUGUUUUACCCAUCUUCCCGGUAUCUAACUGAUAAAAACAAAGUUCAAUAACUACCUUUGCAAGUGAACAUGAAAAAGAUUCAAGCUGUCCCUCAGAUCCACGAUAGAAGUGGAAAUAGGGAAGCACCUUCACAUUCAUACUUUUGCACAUUGGUUUGUUCUCGUCAAAGUUCACUUUCAGGAAUAAAAUCUCAGGGUGGUCUUCAGCUGUUCUGCAGAGCUGACACAUGUAUUAAACAAUAAUGUCAGGAACAUAGCACCUCAACCAUACAAAAACAAAUUUGAAACAGUGUAACACAUUUAACGUCAUUUAAGUUUCUAUUGAAGGGUGUUAGUUUCCAGGACAUUCUUUCAAAAUGAACUUCAAAAUUGAAGGAUUCUUAUGUUCCAUUAAACAUUUAAGCUGAAAUCUUGGGUAGAGCUAUCUCCUCUCAUCAAAAACAGUUACCAUAUAAUGAUCAGUCAAAAUGUUUCUCAUGAAAUGAAACCUCUCGAUAACAGAAGGCAAUGUUCCAAAAACAAUGAAGCAGCUAACCAAGGCAUGCUCAGCAUCUAGAAAUGCUUAAUACAGUAUAUACCAUAGUAGCAUACAAUUAGUGUAGAAAAAAUACUGAUGGUUUAAGAGCUUAUAUGUUACGCUGGCGUUGCAUGUAAGACAGUUCUCGAACUAAAGAGGAACACCAUUAUGGAUGCAUGUCCAAAUCAAUUUCUGUCUGGAUCCCAAUUGCAGAAACAUAUAUACAGCAUUUUGAACUUGGUUAUUUCUUUUAUUUUAAACUUAGGCAGCAUACAAUACAACCAUAUAAAAGUAAAAGAACCAAGGAAAACACUCAUCUGACCGAAAUUAGUCCCGGUUUAUCGAACAAGACAUGCCACUGCUUCCUUGGGCACAUUUGACAUCUGGAAUCAAACCAUUCUAGUGAACUUGAAGUCUUACAGUUCAAGUUAGCAAGAAUAAACCAGGAAGGUUUCAAUGACACCAGUCCUAUAAUACCCGUAUGUAUUCACAUAUAUGCGUAUGGACAUUACCUUCUUCACUGCUUUGUUUAAGUCAAACAACUUCCGAAUUAUUAUUCAUGAGCUAUAUGAAAGUUUUUCAAGCGUAAAGUAACGAGAAGGAAUCAAAUUAUGAGAUUACCUUAGGAAACAAUGCACGGCAAGAAGCACACCAAGUCCCAUAGAAUUCUACAAUAACUAAUCUAUCACCAGCUUGGGCUAAAGCACUCAAAAACUCUGGAGUAGAAUGAAUGUCGACCAUAUUUGGAACACUUCUUUCCCACCAUUUUGGCUGGUCUUUAUCUUUUUCAGCAACAGUAGCCUGCACCUGCAUGUAGUGCACAAGAACCCAUUAGACAAACAUCCUUUCACAACAUCAGCAAUCAGCAUAGCCCAAAACUUGGGGAAAACUAACAAAACAUCAAUUUCCAAUCGAUUUUCGCCUUCCCUUUCAAUAUUUUCCCUUUGUGCAACUGAUACCACAAGCCAUAUUAUCGAAAUUAGCUAAAACAGCGAAAUGCAAUGGAAUAUGACUACUUCAACAAAUGGGGUUCCCAAAAAUGCUUCUAAUUUGCAGAAAACUUGCCAAUUGAAACCCAAUUCACAAACAAAAUUACCAAAAGCUAUUAUAUACUGCCAAAUUACAACACUUCAACAAAUGGGUAAUCGUAAAUUCGAUCAAAUAUUAAGCAGAUGACAAAACAAAAAAAAAAAAAAAAAAAAAACCUUGCCAAUUGUGGAUAGAAUUACCUUGAAACUAACCAACUGCUUUCUGGUUCUGAAAGCAAAGGGAGCGACAGACGAAUACGAAAGGGGAUAAACCCUCCUGUACGGGUUUUGAUUGGCUGGGAGGCCCGGUUGCAGAGAAUUGAAAGAGGAGGCGAACGAGGUGAGCAGAGACGAAGAGAAACGAAGUGAAUGGAAUGGUGAUCUCAAAACAUCAGCCAUUUAAUUAAAUUACUUGAAAAAAAAACAGAGAAAAGUACUGAGCUUUUUGAAAGAAAAAAAACCGAUAAAUGGUAAGAGUCAAAGGCAGAGAAGAAGAAAGGCCAUGGCUUUUCGAAAAAGGAAGAGUUUUUGUAAUAGUAUCUGCUCCGCUGCGUGUGUGAACCAGAGGGUACCAGAGGACGGACGCUGCUGUUUGGUCUGGGUCGAUUCUACUUGUAUUUUUUUUGUUCUUUUUAUCAUUAUUAGAGAUUAUUUCUAAACUUCAAAAAAAAAUUCAUUCAUUUGAUUUAGAGACUUUAAUUUUUAUACGAAUAAAAAAAAUUAACGAUUCAUAUGAUAUUACUUUCAUAGUCGUUGAUUUGUCAUCUAAAUUACAUGUUAAUGAAACCUUUUUUGUCAAAUGUCAACUAAAAGGAGGUGAACAUUUAUUUUUGACUUAUUUCACAAUAAAAAAGUUAAUGACAACAAUGCAAUUUUACAAAAUAAAAUUUUACUGUUUUUUGUUUAAGCAUCACCUAUAUGUGAUUUUAUCAAUCUUUAAUUUUCAAAAUAUAAAUAAAUAAAUAAACCUCUCCCCCUCCUUCCCCACUCCCACGUUGUUUUUGUCACCCUCUUCCUUUCUCCUUCAAUUUAAAAAAUAAAAGUAAAAAUUUCACACACUUCGUGUAUACUAGUCUAUAUAAAUCAAACAAAUUGAUGAUUAAUCACAAUGAUAUUGCUAAAAUGUGUUCAAAUUAGUUAGUUUUUUUAGAAUGAUAUUUGGAUGAAAAAUAGUUCUUCUAGGACAUUCUUUACACAAUGAAUUUUAAGUACUGAGGUAAUUUUAUAAAAAGUGGGUAUCAGAAAAAGCUAAGCUCAAAAAGGUGUUUGGUAAAUACUUAAAAACAGCUUAUUUUCACAGUUUUGGGUGAAAAAAAAAAACUAAAAAUGUGAAGCAGCAAAGAUGAGCUUAUUCUCACAGCACAAUAUAAACAGUUUUUUUUUUAAAGUACAGCAAUACCAAAUCAGCCCAAACUCAUCAUUCUCUAACAUUUUAACCAAUAUAACUACACAAGAAAAAUUAGAUGAAAUGACCCAGUAGACAAAUGUGGAUGUGUGUUCAUUUAAUUGAUUAUUAGACGGAGCUCACGCACGAUAUGUGUGUAAUUAUAAAAAUUUAAAAACACACUCGUUUAAUAAGGAAGUUAGGAGAGAAAGAAUAUAAUAAUAUGGAGCCACCAGCUAAAAGACAAAAACUCGAUCUUCCUUUUUCUUUCUCCAGGUGAGUUUUGCUUUGUGCUUUUCAGCAGCAAGGUGGAUCUGGCGGACGGUAGUGGUGGAUUGGCAGUCUUCGGACUGCCGGGGACUGCUGUUUUCGAGUUUAAGUGUACUGAUUUGAGGGUUUUAAAACGAAAUCAUGUUGAGCCUGAGAUUGCGACUGUUUGUAAUGAUGAUGAUCAACAAGCUGCGAUGGAGACCACCAGGCCAAUGAUGGCUACCGACGGUGUCAAAUUGAGUUGGAGAGACAAACUUCUGAAUGUUCAGAAUGGAUUACAUGCUCUGGAUUUGGAUAAUUUCAAGUGCGAUCUUGAUGAUGAGUUGGAUUGUGCAGUUACAAGGGGUGAACGUGGCCCUAGCUUUCAAUUUUCUGAACGAGCAAAGAAGAAGAUGUGCGAGCCCUGAGAGAAGUCGUUAAUUGUCAAGUUGUUGGGUAAGCCUCUCUCAAUUGCUGUUUUGUAUAAUCGUCUAAAAGGAAAAUGGAGUCCGAAUGUUGGUUUUAAGCUGUAGAUUUAAUUAAUGGCUAUUUUGUUGCAACUUUUAAGAAGAAUGAGGAUUUGGAAUUUGUUCUUACUGGAGGACCUUGGGUUAUUUCGGGUCAGUACCUUGUAAUUCAUAAAUGGAAACCUGGGUUUGAUGCUAAUUCUUCCAAAAUUAGUAGGACUGCUGUUUGGGUUAAAAUUUUAAGAAUUCAAGCUGAAUUUCUUGAUGUUUGGGCUCUGAAACGAAUUGGUUAUUUUCUUGGUAAAGCUCUGAAAAUUGAUGCACUAACUUUGGCUCGGGCUAGAGGCAAAUUUGCUCGAAUUUGUGUUGAAUUGGAUCUAACUAAACCUUUGGAGGCUUAUGUGCAAUUGAAUGGUGCAUGGUUCAACUUAGAGUAUGAGGGUCUUCCUGAUAUUUGCUUCAAAUGUGAAGUGUAUGGUCAUAGAAGAGCAGUUGUAUUGUCACUAAUGAGGUGGUUGGUGAUGUUUCUAGUGAUGUAAAUGGUAUGAAUGUUGAUAUUGGUGGAAAUGAGGUUGGUACAAGUGAUGGUUGUACUGUUAAUUCUGAUACUAAUGUUUGCAAUACUAGUGUUGAUGGUUCUGUUAAGGAAUCUGUUUUGGGACCUUGGAUGAUUGUUCAAACAAAGAGAAGGGGUAAGAAAAUUAGUGGGGAAGUAGCUUCUGGUAGUAAUAAAGGGGCUACCGGGUCUUGUUUUUCUGUGUUAUUGAAAGAAGAUAAUUCUCCUUCAGUUUUCAAGGCCAAUAUUGGUUCCAAUGUUGGAGGAGAUGCUGCUAGUACUAAAGUUUGGACUCCUAAAGUCAAGAAGACCAUUAUUUCUAAUAGAGCUCAUGUGGCCGAUAUUUCUAAUUCUGUGCAUAAAAGUGAUACUCAAAAGGAGACUGGUUUUAUGAAGAGCACUGAUGUGGAAAAUUCUAGUGUGAUUCAUCCUUAUUUUUAAUUUGGUGAAUCUGUUUCAACUGAUUGGUUUCGCAGUGAGGAUUGGUUUCUCAAUUGGUUUUCAGGCUUCAUUUAAUGGUCAUGAACCACCUAAUAUCCAUGCUAUUGUGGUAAGAUGGACAUGACUAUUGGUAAUGAUUUGCAUAUGCAAGGUCAAGAUGAUUUGGUGGGUGGCAAUUCGUUACCUAUAGAUGAUAUGAUUUCUAAGGAUGGUCCUAAUUCCCAUGUUGGGGAGGGACCAUUCUUUUCUUCUUGAUUUGCCUGAUUGGGCCCCUUCCUCUAUAGUAGUUGUUAUGAAUAUUUUAACUUGGAAUAUCAUAGGAGCUGGGAGAGAUAUGGCUGCCACUACUGUGAAGAAGUUGGUGAUGCAAUAUAAAGUAGAUUUGUUGGUUGUUGUGGAACCCCGUAUCAGUGGGGAUAAAGCGAAAGAGAUUAUUCGAAAUUUUGGUUUCCGUAGUUGGGAGAUUGUGGAUGCUACGGGUUUUUCUGGGGGUAUUUGGCUUUUAUGGAAUGAGACUAAAGUUAAGGUGAAGUUUGUUGAAGCUUGUGAGCAAGCUCUUACUGUUCAAGUAUUUUAUGAUUGUAAGCGUAGUUGGUAUUUUUCCGCUAUUUAUGGCAGCCCUGAUAUUAAAAAGAGAAAUGCCUCAUGGGAAUUUUUCUAUAAUUUUAAGUCUAGAUGCGAUCUUCCUUGGCUUCUUGUUGGAGACUUUAAUGAGUUGUUGGCCUAUGAUGAAAAGAAUGGGGCUCUGGAAGCGUUAGUUUGGGUGGUUUUAAGGAUUGGUUUGAUGUUAAUUUUAUGGUGGAUUUGGGAUUUUCGGGUCAUUUUUUCACUUGGGAUGGUGUUAAUAAAAAUGGUGUAAGAGUCUAUGAAAGGCUUGAUAGGGCAAUUGUGAUAUUGGUUGGAGGGAGAUGUUUCCUGAAGCUCAUAUCAAACACCUUGCAAAAACUAUUUCUGAUCAUACUCUUGUGCUCAUCACUUUGGAAAGCAAGCAUAUUCCCAAUCCAGAGUUCAAACCAUUUAGAUUUGAGGUUAUGUGGAUGAAGCAUGAGUGUUUCAAGCAUUAUUUGGAGUCUAACUGGAAGUCCCAAGAUGUUGGUAUAAACCAGAAACUUGGUUUUCUUUCUGGUAAGCUGAGAUGGUGGAAUAAAAAUAUGUUUGGUCGUCUUGAGUGGAAGAGAAGAAGGUUACUUGCUCGAAUUGAGGGUGUUCAAAGGCUCUAUGUAAUAAUUGCUGGCCUUUUUUGUUGAGGUUGAAUACUUCCUUAUCUAAGGAAUAUAAUAAUCUUCUUGAGCAGGAGGAAAUUUUUUGGAAGCAAAAAUCAAGAGUUAAAUGGCUUCAAGAGGGAGAUAGGAAUACAAGGUUCUUUCAUCUUUCUACCAUCAUUAGAAGGAGAAGGAACAAAAUUGAAGGUUUGUGGAAUAAUGAUGGCGUGUGGGUGGAGGAUAAGGAGGAUCUCAAGCAGAUUGCGGUGCAUCACUUUUGUUCUUUAUUUGCUUAUUCUUUUUAUGGGACUUCUAAUGGUGUGAUGCCUAAUCUUUUCUCUUAUGUCGAUCAGUCUUUGCUUGGUGCUUUAAAAGAAGAUGUGUCUCUUCAAGAAGUUAAAGAUAGUUUGUUUUCUAUUGGUGCUUUGAAGGCUCUUGGGCCAGAUGGUUACCCUGUUGCAUUUUUUCAGAAUUUUUGGGAGUUAUGUAGCUUUGACAUCCUUUGUCUUAUUACUGAGUGUUUUAAGAAGGGCUCUAUACCAGAUGGUCUUGGUAGUACCUUAAUCACUUUUAUUCCUAAGGUUGAUGGCCUUCAAGAUAUUUCCCAAUUUCGUCCUAUAAGUUUGUGUUCUACUUUGUAUAAGGUGGUGACCAAAAUUCUUGUUAACAGAUUGAGACCUAUUAUGAAAUCCAUUAUCAAUCAUAAUCAGGUUAGUUUCAUCCCUGGAAGACAUAUUACUGAUAACAUUAUAAUUGCUCAGGAAGUUUUGCAUGCUUUCUCCCUCACUGGAGGGGCCAGAGGCUAUAUGGCUUGGAAAAUUGAUUUGUCUAAAGCCUAUGACAGACUUAGAUGGGAUUUUAUAAGGGAAGUGCUUGUUGUAGUGGGUAUUGAUGAUUUGACUGUCAAGCUUAUUAUUAUGGAUUGUGUAAGUAAAGUGGAUUACAAGAUUGUAGUUAAUGGGGAAUGCUCAACCAGUUUUAGGCCGGAGAGAGGUGUUAGGCAGGGUGAUCCUCUCUCUCCAUAUCUUUUUGUGCUAUGUGUGGAGAAGUUGAGGCAUUUUAUCAGUGAAGAUGUCUCUAAUAAAUGUUGGAAGCCUGUCAAAAUGGCUAAAAAGGGGCCUGCCAUUUCACAUUUGUUUUUUGCAAAUGAUAUUAUUCUCUUUAGCAAGGCUUCUAUUUCUCAAGCUAAAGUGGUUAAACGUUGUUUGGACACUUUUUGUUGUUUAUCUGGGCAACAAAUUAGCUUUGAGAAGUCUCAAAUUUUUUGCUCUUCUAAUGUGGAUAGCGGUGUUGCUGAUCUAAUUAGUGAAAUUUGUGGCUCUCCAAUUGUUCAGGACUUGGGAAAGUAUCUAGGUGUGCCUUUAAUUCAUUCUCGAAUUAAUUCUAGCACCUAUAUAGAGGUUGUUAACAAGGUUCAGAGUAGACUCUUUGCUUGGAAAGCCAACACUUUAUCUUUUGCUGGAAGAACUACUCUUAUUCAAGUGGUUACUUCAGCUAUUCCAGUUUAUGUGAUGCAAACAGCCAAGCUCCCAGUUAACACUUGUUAUUUAAUUGAUGGAUUGAAUAGGAAAUUUUUGUGGGGUUCUUCUGAAGUCAAAAGUAAAACUUGUUUGGUUAGAUGGAGUUCUGUUUGUCUUCCGAAGAACAAAGGUGGUUUGGGUCUUAAGAGAAUGAAGUACAUGAAUGUUGCUCUUUUGGCCAAUUCCAGUUGGCGUUUGUUACAAUGGGAUGAUGGUCUUUGGGCUAGUACUUUUAGAGGUAAGUACUUAAGUAGGGUGAAUUCCGAUAUUCUCAAAUGGCCAACUGGUAGGGUAGCUUCUAGCUCUUGGAAGGCUGUUGUUUAUGGUGGUUAAUUGUUGAAAAAUGGUCUUAUUUGGAGGGUCGGCUUAGGUGCUAAUAUUAGUUUUUGGUUUGAUGCGUGGCUUGAUGAUGGCAUUUUCACCGAUAAGGCCUUGAUUCAUUUGGAUGUUUUUGCUAAGGCCAUCUCCAACCGAUGGCUAGUCAGAGGGCUCGUUUUAGCCCUCUGGCCCUCCAAGAUAUUAAUAUUUUAAUGAACAGUACAUGACCAUAUUUGCCUCUGUCUCCAACUGAUGACCAAAAGGCCAUAAGGCUCGUUUUAGCACUGUCACAAAAAACCGUCUUCAACCGAGGGCCAAAGUGCCAAACAUAAUUUAUUAUUUAAAUUUAAAAACCACAACAACUUAAAUUCAAAAACUACAACUUAUAUUUAAAAACUACAAGUUAAAUUUAAAAACGAUGAAUUAAAUUUAAAAACUACAAAUAAAAUUUAAAAACAACAUUAACUUGAAUUUAAAAAUAUAUAUAUAUGAAACAAAUUUUGUGAAAUAGAAGUUAUAGGAAAGAAAUAGAAUUUAAAAAAAAAUAAAACAAAUUUUGUGAAAUAGAAGUUAUAGGAAAAAAUGGAAUUUAAAAAAAAUAUGAAACAAAUUUUGUAAAAUAAAAGUUAUACGAAAAAAAUAGAAUUUAAAAAAAAAUCUGAAAAAUAGAAGUUAUAGGAAAAAUUUUGUAAAUAAAAAAAAAAAUAAAACUGUUAAAAAAAUUCAAAUGCAACGGCUAACUAACGUUAGCUAGUCGUUGCAUUUGAAUUUUUUUCUUCAGCAUUUUUGUCGGUUAUAACCGAUAGGAAAGAUGAUUUUUUUGGCUAGCCUUCUAGCCCUCUCCGAUUCCAUGGGGCCCUCUCAGAUUCCACAGCCCUCUGGCCUAACCAUCGGUUAGAGACGGUUUUCGGGCUAUUUUCGGCCUCUUAGACCAUUCGGUUAGAGAUGGCCAAAAGCUUUAAAGGUUAUAGACUUUUGCUAUGGUAAUUGUUGGAAUGUUUCUGCCUUGAAAGUUGUUCUUCCGGAGGAUUAUGUUUGGAAGAUUUCUGCGAUUCCUAUUGGUCUUAACGAUGGAGAUAGUGAUUGUAUUAUUUGGAAGCAUUCAAAUGAAGGAAAUUUUAGUGUUAAAUCAGCUUAUCUUGCAAGUAUUGAUGAUGAAGACUGUUGGUGCACAAAAUCAGUGAGGACUUUGGUACAAUAGAAAGUGUUAAGUUUGUGACCUUCACUAGAUUGCUCCGGUCACUAGUGUGGAUAAGUAUGCAAAUGGAUAGAGACAAGGAAGCAAACACAAGAUGUACGUGGUUCACCGAAAUUGGCUACGUCCACGGAGUAGAGGAGUUCUCAUUAAUUGUGAAGGGUUUACACAAGUACAUAAAUUCAAGCUCUCAUUUAGUGAGUACUAGUGAAUGAUUUAGUACAAAUGACAUUAGGAAAUAUUGUGAGAGAAUGAUCUCUAUUUAUAAAAGAGAGUUUCUAGUUUCAUUCUGACAUUGACACGUGUCGUGUUGUGAUUGGCUUCUGAUGUUGACACAUGUCACGUUAUGAUUGGCUUCUGAUGUCGACACGUGUCACGCUGUGAUUGGCCUCCUGGUUGGAGGGAAACUCUUCUGGGUCCUUGACGGUAUAACGUUGACCAGUGCUCAGUAGUUUCGGGAUUGGUUAAGUAUGGUACAAACAGUGCUCCCCAAAGUUCCCGAGUGAGGGAAGCUCCUCGGUUGGGGACUUGCAAGAUCGAAGCUAUUGAGUAAUCACGAAACUUCUAAGUACCGAAGUGUGGUAUCAUUUUCACUUGCCUUAUCUGUCUCAUAUGUAGAUGUGGCAUCUUCUCUGGAAGUAAUUUUCCUCCAUCCAGGGGUAGUAUCUUUAACCGAUGAAGAUGCACAAGGUAAUGUAUCAAUUUCACUUGAAACUUACUUGUAGUUUCAGUCUUGGUCAAGUGCAAUACAAACCCUAUAGUAGGAGUCCCCCAAGUCGCCGAGCUAGGAGAUUUGCCGAAAGAGGUAACAGACAAGGUAAGCAAUCAGACUUCUAAGCAAGCAACCUGGAUCGGAGGUUCGACUUCGGCUUUCGGUUGAUUAUUCUCCUUCUCCUUGUGUCGUAAACAGCAACAAGGAUAAGGAGAUGCAAAUGGAUAAGAGAUGAUAUGAGAUACUUUUGCUUUUGAAGAAGUAACUUUCCACAGGCUCUUUCUUGAACUGGGCUGGAGCGUUUUCUGGUUUCUUCCAGAGUAUAAGGCCGACUCAAGAAUUUGAGGGUCAAAACAAGUCCAUCAAAUCUAGAGUACGUUCGACCCUGAUGAUAUGGGAUAUUUUUGCUGUUGACAAAGUAGUGGAUGUAUCGGCACGUGUUCUGUUAUGCUUUGAUGCGAAAAUUAUCUUAACACACAAAUUUAACCCUCUUUUGACAACUGUAGUAUAAGUAUAAGUAGGGAUCAUUCUGGACCGGGGAUUAGGAGGGCUUGCUAAUAACCUCUAAACUGACUCAAAAACAUAAAACUAAACUUAAAAAUACUUAACAAGACUCACAAGACUCAAAGCAAACUUAAAAUACUCAAACCAGCUUAGAACAACUAACUAAACUUAAACUAGACACUAGGAAUGACUUUGGAUGAAAAUUGAUUUUUACUUUAAUCAAAACAUUUAAAAACACAAAUUAAAACAGAUUUUAACUAAUUAGACACACUAAAGUAAAGGGAGAUUGAGUUUUGAACGAAGUUGAAACAAACAAACAAGUAUGAAAAACUAGAUAGAUUGUAAAACAAAUUUGAGAAAUAAGAUGAUGGAUGGGACUAGAGGCUUUUUCUUCACACAUGACAUGUAUGCAAAUAACUCGAUUUCCAGUUACUACUUCAUUAAAUUAUGAACGACAAUGCUCCAAAUUAACUGUGACAUCACUAGUUAACUCUCAGAUUUUCCUUGUUUUAUUGGAUUGGAUAACAUCAUUCGACAACCCAAAACAUUCUUCUAAAGUUCCCUACAUGACAUCGUAAUAAAGAUACAAUAAAAGAUCAUUACGUUUAAUGAAAAUCAUAAGCAUUGACAAAGCACUUGCAACUAUGACAUCAUGUCACUCAUGCUAGGAAUUGAACUUAACGCGAUCGUUUAUAAGCGACCUUCACUACAUGUGAAUAUAAGUUUGUAACGAUUAUGUGAAACUUCCUUAUAUUCUAGCAACGGAUUUAUGCAUGCCAAUUAAGUGUCGACCCUUAAUUAACAAAUACAAAUAAGUUAUCAAUCAAAUAGUUAAGCCUAUUGCAUUCACGAUUCAAGAGUUCAUAACUGGAAUUUAUCAAAUUAUAUUGCACACAUAAUCAUGGCUUUGAAAUCACCCCUAGCCAAGAGGGGUUUAGCCACUCAUAUUCACAACAAAACAAAAGAAAAUGAAUUUAAACAUUGGAAACAAAAGAAAGAAAACACCUAAACGCUCCAACGAUCCAAGUUGGACAGUAAGCACAUCCAAGCACUUUCAUUCCCUUCCUUUGCUACGGCACAAGGUGUUGGUAAGUGUUUGAAGGUUUGUUUGUAUGGAGGUGGAUGUGAAGAUGAAUGGAUGUGUUUGGAUGAAGGUUGUAUUGAAUUCGGCAAAGAGUGGAGAAUUGUGUAGAUGAUGUGUGUGUGUUUUGGAUGGAUUUUUCUUUGGUUAUGGUGAAGGGUGGAUGUAUUUACAGGCUAAGGAGAGGAUCACUAUCUAAUUAAGGUGGUAGUGGUGUAUGUUGUGGUAAUGAGUGGAUGUAAUGGGUGUAGUGGGUGAGUGUUAUGGUAAUGAGUGGAUGUAAUGGGUGUAGUGGGUGAGUGUUGUGGUAAUGAGUGGAUGUAAUGGGUGUAGUGGAUGGAGCUCACGGCAAGGGGAUGAAAGGGAAUGGAUUUGUGAGAUGUCAUGUUUUGUUGUGGUAUGGUUUGUGUAUGUUUAAGGAGAAGGGAUGGCUGAAUGUUAAAGGAGAAAAGACCCCCAUUUCCUUGCGGUAGAAUUGUCUGCCUUGCAUGUGUGUGUAUGAAUGAUGUCUCCAUACUUUGCAUGUGUCUCUCUGCCCUCCAAGCUGUCCAUGCACUUUCUGUCCAUGUCGUGCCUUUCUUUCCCAUGUGUGUGAUGUCCAUGUACUCAUCAUUUCCACUCUUUCAUUCUUUAUUUUCUACUGCCCAUGCCGUGUGUUCCUUGCUGUUUUCUCCCUUUAUUUCCACAUGUACCAACUGUUACUCCUGCACACACAUGCUCUUCAUCAUUUCAGCUACCAAUCAACAUCUUUUCUGCCCAUACCAUGUUCCUCUUUGCAUGUGUGUGUGUUGUCCAUGUUUCUUCCAUGUGCCAUGUUUAUCUUCAUCAUUUCAGCUAGCAAUCAACACAUUUUCUGUCAUCACAUGGCAGCUAUGAUAUUUGUAGUUGUAGGUCAACACACUUGCACACACAAAUGCUGAUUUCUAGCCUUCUAAUCUUAAAAAAACAUCCAUCCUCAUGUCUCCAUGCUUGCACUAUCCAAUCUUGGCCCAAAAAUGCUCCAAAAUGUUCCAAAUAGCACUUUGUUGCCAACUUUGUUAUUUGAACCUACAAACACACGAAAAUAGCUUAAAGUACUAAAAUAAUUAGAAUUAAACUAAGUAAAUGCCAAGAAACAAGCUAACUAAGUUGCAUAAAUAUGCUCCUAUCAAAUUUCCCCACACCUAGCUUUUGCUAGUCCUCGAGCAAAACAGAAGAAACAAAACGAAACAAAACAAACAAAACACAACCUAACCUUUCAACAUUUUCCUCAGGGAUUUCCAAUGCACAUGACAUGUUAAAAAUCAUCAUUCCCACAGAUUUUGGUUAUCUUCACAGUUGAGCAUAAACUUAAUCACAGUCACUACUUACUAGUUCACAAUUAACCAAUUAAAACAAUGUUUUGAAUGUAGUAACAUGCCUUAGAGAAUUUGCUCAAUUCCUUACAAGAUACUCUCUAUUUUCAAACACAUUUUCUGACUACACACCCUACACUAGAGACUGGGACUCCCAUAUGUUAUAACAAAGGAAGCAAUUUUCUGGAGUUAUUAAGCAUGUUUAGAUAUGAUCUCAUGAAUGGUAUGCUACUACUUAGAUGCGAGAACCAGUGACACCAUAUGCUCAUACCAAUUUUGAAUUCCCCAAAUUGAAACACACAACACUCAAGAUUGUAGUCAAAGGUUGUAACAGGGCUUGGGGGUAAUGGCUAACAAAGAAAGGAUAGGAUAACAAACGUUCUUAAAGCGAUAGCAAGCAAAGCAUUGAAAUAGACUUUGGAAUUCACUUUAGAUUGCAGAAUCAACUUUUACAUACAAAGGAAAGAUUCAUGCAACACUUAGGGCCGAAUUCGAUGUUUUGGACCCUUUUUUAACAAACAACACUUUAGAGCUUUUUUUCAUACUUUCUUUUUCUUUUCUCUACCCGUACCUUAUUAAGGACUUUGGUACACACACACACAAGAAUCAUUUCCCCCACACUUGCUUUCUGCAAUACAUUGAUAAAAAAAAAGUUCAUUUUAGGUCAUGCUUUACUAUGCUUCAAGAACAAGGGUAUGGAUGGUCCUAAAACUAGGCUAGGUGAGGAUAGUGUGGGUUAACAAAGAACAUAGGCUUAACAAGGCUCAACGGGGUUAAACUUAAACACAUAAUGAAAUAGGGGCACGACAAUUUGGCUUUGGUGGUCACUACACAACUUCAUCUUGAAUAUGUGUUAUGCAAAUCAAUAGCAUGCUUUGAAUGAAAUAGGCAUGAGUUCUAGCAUUUGGAACUAAAUGAUGAAACGCCUUCUAAGUAGCAACCAAGCAAAGAAUAAUGAGAUCAUGCAACGACUUUAGAAAACAAUGAUGCACAAAUUAUUAACUCUCCAAAUAAACGUUUAGGCUCAAGUCUCACAAGGUUGUAGUGUUCAUUUGAGUUCUUUCCUUCAAGCAUGUUACAAAAACUGAUUUUUCCCUUAUGAUUGCAUGUGAAUUCAUAAAUUAUAACCACAAGCAAGCAUACACCAAAGAGUAAAUCAAUUUUCAUCCAUGUUUAUAACUCUCUUUAACAGUCAUGUAAUUAAAAAUUAAAUCAUCAUCAUUGUGUUAUAAGGUACCCUAAGACACAAAUAAACACAAAAAAACAACUCUUUUUGGGUUUUUCAAAACAAUUUUUUCAAAUUUUUAUGAGAUUUUCGGAUUUUUAUGUCAAAACACACUAAAACACUUAAAAACAGUAAGGAACAACACUAGAAGUAAUGGGUGAUAAACUCCUACGAAUUUCAUGCAAAACAACUUGGUUACCCCCCACACUUAAAUCAAACAUUGUCCUCAAUGUUUCAAGCAUAAACUCACACAAAAACAAGCAAGCAAACAAACAACGAAUAAACAUGACAAGUAUGGCAAAGUAAAAACCAGACAGAGUAGAGUUUAAGAACGCAAAUCUGGUUUUGGAGGUAGAUGAUCUUGGCGACUUUCCACAGCUUUGAUCUCGAACUGGUUUGGAAUUCUGAGCGAGGAAUAUCAGAGUUCAUUGGUUUCAAAUCAGACUCCUUCUGCUGGGUUGAUUUGAUUGUGCAUUCUGCAUUCUUCUCAGCUUGUUUCUUCUGCACGGCAGGCAGGCACGAGGUAGAGGUGAUGGUCUGUUUCUUUCUUCAAUCUUUCCAAGUGCCCACCAUUUGCUUUCUUUCUCUUUGUCCCUAGCUGAGGAUGAAUUAGCACAUUGUCUCCACAUGCUUCGAGGUAUCAUUUUCACUUCCCUUGUCUAUUCCCCAGGCAGAUGUGGUAGACGAAGAGGAAGCAUAAGAUGUUGAAGAUGAGUACUCGAGAGCAAGGCUAGGUAAGUAAUCAGGAAGGGGUUCCAGGCAGUCGGUUCCAGAUCGGAAGAUUGAUACCAAGUGCUGGCUGAUUGCUUUCUUUCUCCUUGUCCCGCAGAUGAAAACAACGACAAGGAGAAGGAUAGGGAGAAAGCAUGAUAUGAGAUACUCUUGCUUUCAACCUUCAUGAUAUGAAAUACUUUUGUUUUAGAUGAGUUGUUCGCAAAGGUACCCCAAGGAAUAAGGAACACUGAGUGACUCGAGAGGCUUCGUUGGGAAGGCAUUCUCAGAUAUGAAGAAAGGUUAUGUAUGUCUGCCUUGCAAUGGAGGGUGAAGGUUGACAUUUAUAGGAAUUAAUAACCGGUACUGUUCUUUCACUCUUAUCGGCAACCGUUGAAUGAUUUAACAGUAAACUUCACGUGCCUUCUACUUCACAAGAAAUCUUUGACAGAUUGCCCGUAAUUUCCGCAAGGCUGAGUGUGCAUGUGACAGGUGCUGACAUGUCUUGAAAAGCAAGUGCCUCUUCGAUAUCUGGGAUCGGCGCUUCGAUAAACUGCCCAUGAUUUUCGCAAAGCUGAGUCUGCAUGUGACAGAUGUUGACACGUUUGGAAAAGUAGAUGCCUCUCAGAUUUCUGAGCUUGCCUCUUCAGGUUCUGAGCUCGCCUUUUCGAGUUCUGAGCUCCGUCGAGUGCAGAGGUUACAUGUGACAAGUGCGGACAAAUCUGGAAAAAAAGAUUGACCCGUGGUUUCUGAGCAAGCCCAGCUUUUAAGAAAGCUAGCGCCUCUUCGAUUUUUGAAUUGGCCUCUUCGAUUUCUGAGCUCGCCUCUUCGAUCUCUGAAAUCCUGUCGAGUGCUGAUUUUUAUAGAGGUGCGCAGUUCGUUUCAAAGCAGGGUGAAGGUUGACAUUUAUAGGAAUUAAUAACCGGUACUGUUCUUUCACUUUUAUCGGCAACCGUUGGAUGAUUUAACAGUAAACUUCACGUGCUUUCUACUUCACAAGAAAUUUUUGACAGAUUACCCGUAAUUUUUGCAAGGCUGAGUGUGUAUAUGACAGAUGCUAACACGUCUAGAAAAGCACGUGCCUCUUCGAUAUCUAGGAUCGGCGCUUCGACAAACUGCCCUUGAUUUUCGCAAAGCUGAGUGUGUAUGUGACAGGCGCUGACACGUCUGGAAAAGCAGAUGCCUCUCCGAUUUCUGAGCUUGCCUCUUCAGGUUCUGAGCUUGCCUAUUCGAGUUCUGAGCUCCGUCGAGUGUAGAGCUUGCAUGUGACAAGUGCGGACAAAUCUGGAAAAGAAGAUUGGCCUGUGGUUUCUGAGCAAGCCCAGCUUUUGAGAAAGCUAGCGCCUCUUCAAUUUUUGAAUUGGCCUCUUCAAUUUCUGAGCUCGCCUCUUCGAUCUCUGAAAUCUCGUCGAGUGCUUGUUUUUUUAGAGGUGUGCAGUACGUUUCAAAUCACACUUGAAUUUCUGCCUAUAGAAACUCCCUUCUUGCACUUCUACUAUCUUGACUUGUCCGACCUCUUCUUUCUUCAACACAUUUGAAAAUGUCUGGCCCCUCAGACCGUCGUUUUGACUUGAACCUUGGUGAAGAGGCAGCCAUGCCUUCUCCAGACAACAUAUGGCGCCCAUCCUUCAUAUUCCCUACUGGUCCUCUUACCGUUAGGGAUUCGGUGAUGAAGAAUGAUAUGACCGCUGCAGUGGUGGCCCGGAACCUUGUCACUCCCAAAGAUAAUAGACUGCUUUCCAAACGGUCUGAUGAGUUGACUGUUAAGGAUUCUUUGGCUCUCAGUGUGCAGUGUGCAGGUUCUGUGUCUAAUAUGGCCCAACGCCUAUUUGCUCAAACCCGUCAAGUUGAAUCAUUGGCGGCUGAAGUGAUGAGUCUCAAACAGGAGAUUAGAGGGCUCAAGCAUGAGAAUAAACAGUUGCACAGGCUCGUACAUAACUAUGCUACAAACAUGAAGAGGAAGAUUAACCAGAUGCAGGAAUCUGAUGGUCAGAUUUUACUUGAUCAUCAGAGGUUUGUGGGUUUGUUCCAACAGCAUUUGCCUUCGUCUUUUGGGGCUAUACCGCGUAAUGACGCUCCAAAUGAUCAACCUCCGAUGCCUCCUCAUUCUGGGGCUCCGCGGACUGCUGAGGUUCCGCCGACUACUGAGACUUCUCCUAAGCAGCCUUUGUGAAGGCUUCCUCUUGUAUUUUUUGCUUAAUGUUCCUUUUAUUUUUUUCAUGAAAAUGAAUGUAAAAAUAUCUUGCAUAUCUGUCAAUGUUUCAAAAAUAAACUCACACAAAAAACAAUUAAACAAGCAACAAAUAAAAAUGACAAUCAUGGAAAAAUAAAAUGCAGAAAAGGGAAGGUUUUUAGAAACGCAAAACUGAUUGUGGAGCGAUUCAAAAAUCUUCCUCAUUUUUUAAUACAUGAGUUGCCUCCCAAGAAGCACUUACUUUAACGUCUUCCAGCCGGACGAAACUUCCUUCUAAGCUUGGAUAGGGCCCAUAGCAUGGAAUUGAUCCUUGAAUGGAAGGUGAUACUUGACGUGAUCCGGCAAUGGUUUAAAUUCUAAUGUAGGUGCCUGAAUCAUCAAAAUCAGCAAGUUAGUAUAAAAUAAAAUCAAAGUUGGAGAAGAUGGCUUACUUGCUUGCUUUGACACAACCUCAAUUACGAACACCACAUCUUUGAAGGUUGCAGGGAUAUGGGAUUUGGCCAGAUUUGGUGUUUUGAGAGUUAUGACUUGUCCCGUGUCAUAAAAUCCAACUUCUUUGGGAUUUUUCGUCUCAAGUGUAUCUUCUUUGAUGAAUUUUAGACAUUCCCCAUCCACUUCUUGCUCUUGAUUCUUUGGAAAGGUUUCAAAGAUGCCUUUCUCACCCUCUUCUUCCUUGGAUUGCUUGAUCCUGCAAGGAAUAAGGACAUUUGGUGAAACGGGGUCAUGACGAAUUGAAUUUAGGCUUACCUUGUUGUAGUGGAUGGCAUAGAGGGCAUAUGGGGCUGCGGCAAAGGUGGUUCUUCCCUUGCCGUGGCCUUGUUAUUCUCCUCUUCUUCGAGCAUUAGAUGUUCAUCCAUGUUUUGGCUUGGUUUGGAUGUCUUGGGUUCACCUCCAACCUUCAUAGCACUUCCCAAAGUGAUAGCAUCAUGGAUUUCAAAAUCUUCCUUCAAAUUUUCAAUAAUUUAGUUGGAUAGUUCACUUUGCUCUUGAAUUUGUGCCGUGAACUCCAUAAUCUCUCCAAGUUGAUUUUUCAAUUCGUUCAUCUCCUUAGCUUCAUUGAGCAUUGUUUCAUUUUGAUUUUGCUGCCCCUGUACCAAAGAGGUUAGUAAUUGAAAAAUUUGAUCAUUAUCCGUGGACAUACUUGAAUUUGAUUGGAAUUGUUGUAGGGGAAGCUGUGAUGGCUACAUAGGUGUUAAAUAAAACUCAUCAGAUUGCUGCCAAUAUCCAUCUUGUUGAGCCUCCUUGGUUUGAUUUUGUGAGCCUUGCACCAAAGAAUUUAUUUCAUCAAAAAUUCGAUCAUAAUCUAUUGACGAACCUGAGUUUGAUUGAGCAUAUUGUAUAUGAGGUUGUGAUGGCUGCAUAGGUCUUGAAUGGAACUCCUCUUCUUGCUGCCAAUAUCCAUCUUGUUGGAAUUGUUGAGGUUCUAUGUAAUCUGAAUAAUCUCUCCAAUCCGAAUUGUAAGCGGUGGAAAACAUGUUGUCCCAUGAUUGGCUAUGGCCUUGAUAACCCCAAGCAUCUUCAUUCGCAGCGAAUUGAGAAUAUUGCUGAGUUGGAUAUCCUUGCCUAUAGGACACACCACAUGUAGGGACACUUUGCAUUGUAGUCCUUUCGGCAUAUUGUGACAAUUGAGAAGUAAGUUCAGCCAAUUGAGCUUGAAUGGUAGCAAAAUCCAUGUCUUACUUCUCUAGUACCUGAAAUCAAGGAAACAAAACUAAAUCAAAUAUCAAAAGUAAAACAAAAAAAAACACAAACAGAAACAAAGUCAAUAACUAAAAACAAAAGACACGAAAAUAUACAAAAAGAAAUAACAAGGGAUUAGCAAAGUUGCUAAUCCCUGGCAACGGCGCCAAAAACUUGAUGCGAAAAUUAUCUUAACACACAAAUUUAACCCUCUUUUAACAAUUGUAGUGCAAGUAUAAGUAGGGAUCGUUCUAGACCGGGGAUUAGGAGGGCUUGCUAAUAACCUCUAAACUGACUCAAAAACAUAAAACUAAAUUUAAAAACACUUAACAAGAUUCACAAGACUCAAAGAGAACUUAAAAUACUCAAAACAGCUUAAAACAACCAAAUAAACUUAAACUAGACACUAGGAAUGACUUUGACGAAAAUUGACUUUUACUUGAACCAAAACACUUAAGAACACAACUAAAACAGAUUUGAAACACUUUGAAACAAGAAACUAAAAGGGGGGUUUUGAUUUGGAUGGAGUUGAAACAAAUAAACAAGUAUGAAAAAUUAGACAGAUUGUAAAACAAAUGUGAGAAAUAAGAUGAUGGAUGGGAUAGCUAGAGGCUUUUUCUCCACACAUGACAUGUUUGCAAAUAACUCGAUUUCCAGUUACUACUUCAUUGAAUUAUGAACGACAAUGCUCCAAAUUAACCGUGACAUCACUAGUUAACUCUCAGAUUUUCCUUGUUUUAUUGGAUUGGAUGACAUUAUUCGACAACCCAAAACAUUCUUCUAAAGUUCCCUACAUGACAUCAUAAUAGAGAUACAAUCAAAGAUCAUUACGUUUAAUGAAAAUCAUAAGCAUUGACAAACCACUUGCAACUAUGACAUCAUGUUACUCAUGCUAGAAUUAAACUUAACGCGAUCGUUUAUAAACGACAUCCACUACUUAUGAAUAUAAGUUUGUAACGAUUAUGUGAAACUUUCUUAUAUUCUAGCAUCUGAUUUAUGCAUGCCAAUUAAGUGUAGACCAUUAAUCAACAAGUACAAAUAAGUUAUCAAUCAAAUAGUUAAGCCAAUUGCAUUUACGAUUCAAGAGUUCAUAACUGGAAUUUAUCAAAUCAUAUUACACACAUAAUCAUGGCUUUGAAAUCACCCCUAGCCAAGAGGGGUUUAGCCACUCAUAUUCACAACAAAACAAAAGAAAAUGAAUUUAAACAUUGGAAACAAAAGAAAGAAAACACAUAAAUGCUCCAACGAUCCAAGUUGGACAGCAAGCACGUCCAAGCACUUUCCUUCCCUUCCUUUGCUACGGCACAAGGUGUUGGUAAGUGUUUGAAGGUUUGUUUAUAUAGAGGAAUGGAUGUGAAGAUGAAUGGAUGUGUUUGGAUGAAGGUUGUAUUGAAUGCUGCAAAGAGUGGAGAAUUGUGUAAAUGAUGUGUGCGUGUGUUUUGGAUUGAUAUCUCUCCCUUGUUAUGAUGAAGGGUGGAUGUAUUUAUAGGCUAGGGAGAGGACCACCAUCUAAUUGAGGUGGUAGUGGUGUAUGUUGUGGUAAUGAGUGGAUGUAAUGGGUGUAGUGGAUGGAUGUUUGGUAAUGAGUGGAUGUAAUGGGUGUAGUGGAUGGAUGUUUGUAGUUGUAGGUCAACACACUUGCACACAUACAUGCUGAUUUCUAGCCUUCAAAUCUUCAAAAACGUCAAUCCUCAUGUCUCCAUGCUUGCACUAUCCAAUCUUGGCCCAAAAAUGCUCCAAAAUGCUCCAAAUAGCACUUUGUUGCUAACUUUGUUAUUUGAACCUACAAACACACGAAAAUAGCUUAAAGUACUAAAAUAACUAGAAUUAAACUAAGUAAAUGCCAAGAAACAAGCUAACUAAGUUGCAUAAAUAUGCUCCUAUCAGUGAAAGGUGGAUGUAUUUAUAGGCUAAGGAGAGAACCACCAUCUAAUUAAGGUGGUAGUGGUGUAUGUUGUGGUAAUGAGUGGAUGUAAUGGGUGUAGUGGGUGAGUGUUGUGGUAAUGAAUGGAUGUAAUGGGUGUAGUGGAUGAAGCUCACGGCAAUGGGAUGGAAAUGAAUGGAUUUGUGAGAAGUCAUGUUUUGUUGUGGUGUGGUUUGUGUAUGUUUAAGGAGAAGGAAUGGCUGAAUGUUAAAGGAGAAAAGACCCCUAUUUCCUUGCGGUAGAAUUGUCUCCCUUGCAUGUGUGUGUAUGAAUAAUGUCUCCAUACUUUGCAUGUGUCUCUCUGCCCUCCAAGUUGUCCAUGUCAUGCCUUUCUUUCCCAUGUGUGUGUUGUCCAUAUACUCAUCAUUUCCACUCCUUCAUUCUUUAUUUUCUGUUGCCCAUGCCGUGCGUUCCUUGCUGUUUUCUCUCUUUAUUUCCACAUGUACCAGUUGUUACUCUUGCACACACAUGCUCUUCAUCAUUUCAGCUACCAAUCAACACCUUUUCUGCCCAUGCCGUGUUCCUCUUUGCAUGUGUGUGUGAUAUCCAUGUUUCUUCCAUGUGCCGUGUUCAUCUUCAUCAUUUCAGCUAGCAAUCAACAUAUUUUCUGUCAUCACACAGCAGCUAUGAUGUUUGUAGUUGUAGGUCAACACACUUGCACACACAAAUGCUGAUUUCUAGCCUUCUAAUCUUAAAAAACGUCCAUCUUUAUGUCUCCAUGCUUGCACUAUCCAAUCUUGGCUAAAAAAUAAUCCAAAAUGUUCCAAAUAGCACUUUGUUGCCAACUUUAUUAUUUGAACCUACAAACACACGAAAAUAGCUUAAAGUGCUAAAAUAACUAGAAUUAAACUAGGUAAAUGCCAAGAAACAAGCUAACUAAGUUGCAUAAAUAUGCUCCUAUCAUGCUUGUAUCCACAUUCUUCCUUGUAUCCUUCUCACUUGCCCUAUCUGUUCUUCAGGCAGAUGUGGUAUCUUCUCUAGAAGCAUAAGAUGUUGAAGAUGAGUACUCGAGAGCAAUGCCAGGUAAGUAAUCAGGCAAGGGGUUCCAAGCAGUCAGUUCCUGACUAGAAGCUUGAUUCCAAGUGCUGACUAAUUCCUCUAUUUCUCCUUGUCUUGCAGGUAAGAACAAAGGCAAAGGAAAAGACAGAGAAAAAGCAUGAUAUGGGAUACUCUUGCUUUUGACCCUGAUGAUAAGAGAUACUCUUGCUCUGGUGUGACUAGUUUGCAUAGGUAUUAUUGGGGGAAGAAAGUUGAGUAUUUUGAAAGGUUUCGUUGGGAGUACCCUCUCAUAUAUGAGGAAGGGUUGAGCAUUUUUACAGGUCUGCCUGUCCGUGGAGGAUGGAUGUCGACAUAUAUAGGAGUCUCCCUAACAACAAGUAGCAAUGUUAUUCCUUUACCCUUCUUGGUUAUAGCAAUGUAGUGGGAGCUGCAAACUUCACUUGUUUUAACUUUGUCAGAGCACUUUGAAAAAAUGGUCUGUGGUAUUUAGAAAGCUGAUGUUGCAUGUGAAGAUUGCAAACAAGCUUUAUCCAAGGAAAUCUGGCUCUCAAAGUUUGGAGAGCGGUGCAUCUUCAGUUUUCAACAAGCAAUCAUGUUGGGGAUCUGGCUCUCGAGAUUUGGAGAACGAUGCCUUUUCCAUUUUUGAGAAAGUAAUCUUGUUGGGAGUCUGGCUCUUGAGAUUCGGAGAGCGUUGUUUCUUCGAUUUUUGAGAAAGUAAUCCUGUUGGGAGUUUGGCUCUUAAGAUUCGGAGAGCGGUGUCUUUUUUAUUUUUAAGAAAGUAACCUAUUGGGAGUCUGGUACUCGAGAUUCGACGAGCGGUGCCUCAUCGAUUUUUGAGCAAACAAUCUUGUUAGGAGUCUGACUCUCGAGAUUCGGAGGGCGGUGCCUCUUCAAUUUUUGAGCAAGCAAUCUUGUUGGGAGUGUUUUCUCAAAUGUGAGUAAAGGUUGGGUAUUUUUGCCAGUCUGCCUUGCCACGGAGAACGGAGGUUGACACACAUUGAGACUUUCUAGUUAUCAAGCAGUGGUGAUGUUCCUUUACCCUUGUGGGUAAUAGUAGAGUAGCUGGACCUUUAAAAUUUAUGUGUCUAAACUUUGUCAGAGAUCUUUGAACUCGAGGAGUUGAUGUUGCGUGUGGAAAGUGGUGCCUCUUCGGAAUCCGGAGAGUGGUGCCUCUUAAAUUUUUAAACCAACGACCAUGUUGCCCUUUCUUUUAUAAGGGCACCAAUUGUGUGCAAGAAGUACAUUCAGAGAGUUAUUGCUUGUAGGAAUUUUCCCCUUACUUCAAAGAUUUAUUGCACCUCAUUUCUCCUUCAUCAUUUCUGAGAGUGUCUGGCCCAUCCGACCGUCGUUUUGACUUGAACUUUGGUGAAGAGAUAGCCACACCUUCUCAAGAUAACAUAUGGCUCCCAUCCUUCUUAUCCCAUACUGGUCUUCUUACCGUUAGGGACUCUAUGAUGAAGAAUGAUAUGACCGUUGCAGUGGUGGCGAGGAACUUUCUCACUCCCAAAGCGAACAGACUACUUUCCAAAUGGUCUGAUGAAUUGGCUGUUAAGGGCUGGUUUGGUAUUGCUGUGCUUUGAAAAAAACUGCUGUGAGAAUAAGCGGUUGUGCUGUGAGAAUAAGCGGCUGUGAAAUAAAUCAUCAGAGUGUUUGGUAAACUUUUUUGUAAAAGUGUUUUUCGAAAAAAAAAAACAGUCUGAUAGUGGUUCUUUUCAUUAAAAUAGCACUGUAGCUCCAUGUGCUUUGAAAAAAAGCCAGUUUUCCAAAGCUGUAAAUAGCAGCUUUAGCUUUUUCCUUUUAUUUCAGCUUAUUCUCACAGCAGCUUCCAAAAUAAGCCUUUUUUUUCAGUUUACCAAACACCUAAAACCCUCCCAGCUUUUUUUCAUGGGUGCUCUUUUUUUAAGCACCUCACUCCCAAACCACCCCUAAGGAUUCUCGGGCUCUUAAUGUUCAGUGUGCAGAUUCUGUGUCUAAUAUGGCCCAACGCCUAUUUGCUUGAACCCGCCAAGUUGAAUCAUUGGCGGCUGAAGUGAUAAGUCUCAAACAGGAGAUCAGAGGGCUCAAGCAUGAGAAUAAACAGUUGCACAGGCUCGCACAUGACUAUGCUACAAACAUGAAGAGUAAGCUCGACCAGCUGCAGGAAUCUGAUGGUCAGAUUUUACUUGAUCAUCAGAGGUUUGUGGGUUUGUUCCAAAUGCAUUUAUUGCCUUCGUCUUCUGAGGCUGUACCGCGUAAUGAAGCUCCAAAUGAUCUACCUUCGGUGCCUCCUCCUUCUGGGUACAGAGGUUCCAAAUAAUCACCCUCUGGUGCCCCCUCUUUCUGGGGCUCUGCCGACUGCUGAGACUUCUCCUGAGCAACCUUUGUGAAGGCUCUCUCUUGUUUGUUUAUUUUGAUUCAUGUAUAUGUACAUAUUUGUAACUUAUCAGAGAUAUCAAUAAACAAGCUUUGUUUCAUUUCAACGUAUUGUGUUAAAUGCACCAAGGCCUUCUUCACUAAGUUCUUUGAAUUUUUCCUUUUGUUGAAUCUUGUGUGUUAAAGCUUUGUGAGUGAAGCAUGUAGGUUGAGGUAGUGCUCCCUUAAUUUCCCGAGUGAGGAAAACUUCUUGGUUGGAGACUUGAAAAAAUCCAAGUCACUGAGUGGUCGUGAGACUUCCGAGUAUCAAGAUGCAGUAGCAUAUGGUAGGAGUCCCCCAAGUCUCCGGUCGAGGGAGUUGACGAAAGAGGUGUCUUGCUAGUAGCCAAGUUUCCAAAGUAACAAAACUUCACCAUUUUCCUUUCUAAGUGGUAGCCCAAAACUCCUCCUUCAUAUAUAUUUGUUAUGAAAGUUGUUAGGCCCAAAGAAGAGCAGGCCUAGGCAAUUUUUUUUAUUUUAUUAUUAUUAUUUUUUUGAAUUUUUGAAUUUUCGAAUUUUCGAAUUUUUGAAUUUUUGAAUUUUCGAAAAUAUAAAUAUAUAUAUUUUUAAGCUUUAUAGGUGAAGUUUUGUAGGUGAAGCUUUGAGGUUAAAACUUUGUUGGGUACCAUUAAUUGAUUUUAAUUCACACUAUCUUGAUCAAGAUAGUGUGAAGCUUUUGUAGGUGAAGAUUUUGUGUUGAAGCUUUGUAGGUGAAACUUUUGUAGGUGAAGCUUUUGUGGUGGGGGAAGCUUUUGUAGGGGACACUUUUGUGGGUGAAGCUUUUGUUGGUGAAGCUUUUAUGGGUGAAGUUUUUGUGGUGGGUGAAGCUUUUGUGGGUGAAGUUUUUGUUGGUGAAGCUUUUAUGGGUGAAUCUUUUGUAGGUGAAGCUUUUGUGGUGCGUGGAGCUUUUAUUGAUGAAGCUUUUGUAGGUGAAGCUUUUGUAGGUGAAACUUUGUAGGUGAAGUUUUGGAGUUGAAGCUUUUGUUGGUUACCAUGAAUUGAUUUUGCUUCACACUAUCUUGAUCAAGAUAGUGUGAAGUUUUUUAGAAUUUGUAGUUCCUCCAUUGAUGAAGCUUUUGUUGGUGAAGCUUUUGUGGUGAAGUUUUGUUGAAUUUUCUUUUUUUUGUUUUGUUUUGGGAAACUAGAAAUUUGAAAAUGUGGGAGAGACAACAUAUACAAAUUUUGCUUCCACACUGUUGAGCAAGAGAUUGUGAUGCAAGCCACACCUUGUAGUAGUCGAAGGUUUGGAUGAACCAUAUAAAUUGAAUUUGCUUCGAACAGUCUUGAUCAAGAGUGUGUGAAGCUUUCUACGAGUUGUAGUUGCCCUUCAUUGAUGAAGCUUUUGUUGGCACCAUAAAUUGGUUUUGCUUCACACUGUCUUGAUCAGGAGUGUGUGAAGCUUUUGAGAAUUGUGGUUGCCCUCCAUUGAUAAAGCUCUCGUUGGCACCAUAAAUUGGUUUUGCUUCACACUGUCUUGAUCAAGAGUGUGAAGCUUUUGAGAAUUGUGGUUGAACUCCUUUGAUGAAGAUUUUGUUGGCACCAUAAAUUGGUUUUACUUCACACUGUUUUGAUCAAGAGUGUGUGAAGUUUUUUAGAAUUGUGGUUGCCCUUCAUUGAUGAAGCUUUUGUUUGCACCACAAAUUGGUUUUGCUUCACACUGUCUUGAUCAAGAGUGUGUGAAGCUUUUGAGAAUUGUGUUUGAACUCCUUUGAUGAAGCUUUUGUUGGCACCAUAGAUUGAUUUUACUUAACACUGUCUUGAUCAAGAGUGUGUGAAGCUUUUGAGAAUUGUGGUUGCCCUUCAUUGAUGAAGCUCUUGUUGGCAUUAUAAAUUGGUUUUGCUUGACACUGUCUUGAUCAAGAGUGUGUGAAGCUUUUGAGAAUUGUGGUUGAACUCAUUUGAUGAAACUCUUGUUGGCACCAUAAAUUGGUUUUGCUUCACACUGUCUUGAUCAAGAAUGUGAAGCUUUCUACGAGUUGUAGUAUUUGCAUUGUUACAGAAGAGAAAUGUCUGAAGCAGAUGCAUGAGGGCUGAAUAGCUUGAUCUUCGUAUGCCAUGCACUGAAGUUGUUAUUGGCUUGCAAUAAGACUUUGUUGGUGACUAUAACUCUUGUUGGGCAUACGUGCUCCCCUAGUUGAGUUGUCAAGCUUGAUGGUUUUUUUAUUAUUUAUGAAUGCUAGGAGUUCACAUGUACAAGUUGUACCACUCAUCUUCUAAUAGGUGGAAUGAAUGGUGAGUUGCUUUCAUCACUUGGUUGAUGGUACGAAAGUGAGUUCCUUCAUUACCUUUCAUCACAUUUCAUCACCUGGUUGGUGGCACGAGGAUGAGUUCCUUCUUCACCUGGUUGGUGGCAUGAAUGACAAGUUGCCAAAUGAUAUUAGAGUACGGGUUGUACAUUUCAUCACCUGGUUGGUGGCAUGAAGGAGAGUACGGGUUGUACAUUUCAUCACCUGGUUGGUGACAUGAAGAUGGGUUCCUUCUUCACCUGGUUGGUGGCAUGAGUGGCAAGUUGCCAAAUGAUAUUAGAGUACUGGUUGUAUAUUUCAUCACCUGGUUGGUGGCAUGAAGGAGAGUACGGGUUGUAGAUUUUAUCACCUGGUUGGUGACAUGAAGAUGAGUUACUUCUUCACCUGGUUGGUGGCAUGAGUGGCAAGUUGCCAAAUGAUAUUAGAAUGCAGGUUGUACAUUUCAUCACCUAGUUGGUGGCAUGAAGGAGAGUACAGGUUGUACAUUUCACCACCUGGUUGGUGACACGAAGAUGAGUUCCUUCUUCACCUGGUUGGUGGCAUGAGUGGCAAGUUGUCAAAUGAUAUUAGAGUACGGGUUGUACAUUUCAUCACCUAGUUGGUGGCAUGAAAGAGAGUACAAGCUGUACAUUUCAUCACCUGAUUGGUGGCAUGAAGAUGAGUUUCUUCUUCACAUUUCAUCACCUGGUUGGUGAGAAUAAGGGCAAAGUGUCGAGGCACAUUGUAGCAAGUUUCGAAGACACAAAGUAUGUUGGAUCCUUUCGAAGCACAGUUGGCUUAUGUAUGGAUGUGUUGGAAUGUAUGAUGUUUAUGUAUGAAUGUGUUGGAAUGUAUGAUGUUUAUGUAUGAAUGUGUUAGAAUGUAUAAUGUUUAUGUUGAUUGAUAUGAGUGAUGCUUAUGAAUGUUUUGCUAUGCAUGAAGGGAUCCAUGCUUUUGAUAUGUGAACCAUUUUGGUUGUAACACUUAGUAUCACAUACUUUGUGUCAAAGUACGCAUGUUGAAGCUCUGAGUUGGAGUAUAAGGGUAGGUCAGCGUAGACCAAGUGUUCCACUGCUAGGAACGCAAAAGACUCAGAAGAAGUUAUAUGAAUUCCCUAUUCUUUAAAUAUUUGCCGAAUGGCUUGUGUGGCAAAAGAUCUCAAGCGGUUGAGAGUCAAAACAUUUGUAAUAUGUAUACCUUCUUAUAAUAGCAUUUCCUUCAGUACCUAGUCAUCCACUUUGAAAGAGUGAGGCUUGGCCCCAUAGUCAUAAUAGUCGACGGUACGUUCAUCCCUGGUUGUCUUGAUACAAACUUGUAUCCCUCUUGUUGUAAUGGGCUUGCUGAGAGUAAAAAAUCAUUCUUUUUACCAAGAGACAGAUACGUUUGGUAACUUAGCGAGUAGCUAAAUGAGGCAGGAGAUGAUGCAAUUAGUGUCUGAAUGGCCAAUAUCUCCUCACUUGGUAGAACUUGACUUCCACUUCCCAUUUGUUGAUAAGGGUUAACCAUAUGGGGGUUCCAUUGGUAUGUGCUUGCUUCGGUGGAUGCGUGGUUAUACGCCUGUGUCGUCACCUCAAAGUAAGUCUUCCAAGUGUUGGCAUUGAUCAUGUACUUGAAAAAACAAUCACGUAGGCCUGCCAUGAAGGCCUUGAGGGUGGCUUUGUCAUCUGCCUCAGCGCAGCAAGAAUACUCAUGGCUAAAGCGACCAGCAUACUUUCGUAGUGACUCAUCCGGCUUCUGGCGAAUAGUAUACAAGUCAUCUGCAGAAUACAAGUGAUCGGUUUAGAAGAUGUGUUAAGAAACAAACAGUUUCCUCAAUUCCUCAAAUGAGUCUACUGUCUCAGGUGGAAGACGGCAAUACCAGUUUAGAACUCCGCCAGAGAGGGUGGAGGGGAAGAGAAUAUAUCGUUCUUCAUCGAUGUGCAUCUGAUAUGCCAUGGUGGACUCAAAGAGGUUAAGGUGUUCAGUUGGGUCUUCUCUUCUAGUAUAGAGUUGUAAACCAAGCUUUUGUUUUGUCUUCGCUUGAAGGGGGUGUCGAGGAUCCUUCUUGUGAGAGGGCUAGGCCUGGGUUGGUUCCAGUCAGGUAUCUCAGCCUGACGUUUGGCCUUCAACUUGUUUACUUCCUUAAGGAGCUUUAGGACAAGGGGGUCCUGAGUAGAGUCAUGUACCACUGGAAUUUUUUUUCGUAAGUCUCCAUCGCCUCUUGGAAGUAGGAAAGUUUAAAUAAGGGCGUGUGGUUUUUUCUUGGACUCGCUGUACUGACUUCUAGGGCGAAUCUGUCGGAAUACCUCAGAGUCUCCCGUACCUUCAUGUUCCUCUGGGACCUGUCGUUCAUUUCCUAGAUUGGCAGCUGGCCUGGGUCGUGAGAGGGGACCGAGUCUUUCAGAAACCCUUGGGUCAUUGAUCUUCGAGCAUAUGUGGAAAGGAUUCUCUCGACGUUGCUUUAGGAAGUCUCGGCAGUCACAAUAAACGGCUUUCGAUCCUUCUAACCCUUCUGCAAUGAGGUGUCUUCCUCCACUUCUUCUACUUCGGGUUGAAGCAUCUGGGUUGAGAGAAAUCUCAUAUUGAUCAAUGUUUUGAUGAUUAGCUCGCUCCUCAUCAGGGAUACCCAUGUCGAAAGGAGGUGACCCUCCGUGUUGGGGGGCACCUGAUGAUGGUUGAUGUCCACAGAUGCAACGAGCUCGUGUGUUUAAGUACGCCUAGUUUUGUUGAACGUCUCAAAGAGCUUCUCAUACUGCUACUAGAAAACCUCAUUCUUCAUUGCUAUCUUGUUGUUCUGAGCUUCUAGCUCAUCGACUUUAGCUUGAAGAGUAACCCUCUUUCCUUCAUUCUUUCGUUACUUCACACUAGGUUCAAAAGGGGUAUCACUCUGUGUGCUGUGGCUUCCUUCGCUCCCUAUGUUAGAGAGGGAUGCCUGUAAAAAGAGAAUGUACAAAUGGUGGAAACUAGCUUGGCAAAGCUGAAGAGAAUGGGAAUAAGUGUCGUUCCCACAGAUGGCGCCAAAUGUUGAUGCACAAAAUCAGUGAGGACUUUGGUACAAUAGAUAGUGUUAAGUUUGUGACCUUCGCUAGAUUGCUCCGGUCACUAGUGUGGAUAAGUAUGCAAAUGGAUAAAGACAAGGAAGCAAACACAAGAUGUACGUGGUUCACCUAGAUUGGCUACGUCCACGGAGUAGAAGAGUUCUUAUUGAUUGUGAAGGGUUUACACAAGUACAUAGGUUCAAGCUCUCAUUUAGUGAGUACUAGUGAAUGAUUUAGUACAAAUGACAUUAGGAAAUAUUGUGAGAGAAUGAUCUCUAUUUAUAGAAGAGAGCUUCUAGUUUCAUUCUGACAUUGACACGUGUCGUGUUGUGAUUGGCUUCUGCUAUUGACACGUGUCGCGCUAUGAUUUGCUUCUAAUGUAGACAUGUGUCACGCUGUGAUUGGCUUCCUGGUUUGAAGGAAACUCUUCUGGGUCCUUGACUGUAUAACGUUGACCGGUGCUCAGUAGUUUCGGGAUUGGUCAAAUAUGGUACAAACAAAGACUUUGCCGAUUGGAGUUGGAGUGGUAUAUGGAAGCUUAAGCUACCUCCUCGAGUGCUUCAUUUUUUUAUGGCUAACUCUGCAUGGGAAAUUGCUUUGCAAUGAACAGAGAGCUAAGAGAAGUAUGACUGAUAAUUCCUAUUGCGACUUUUGUGAUGGUUGUGUUGAAUCUCUUGAUCAUAUUCUUCGACGGUGUGAUCGUGCAAAGUUAGUGUGGAAUCAAUUGGGUAUGCAUUCAAUUGUUCUGUCCUCAGUUGAUAUUGACUUUCAUGAUUGGAUGAGAGUGAAUCUUUUUUCAAAAGAUUACUCUGCCAUAAUCUGCCUUGGUGGGAUGUUUUUGCCUUUGCUUGUUGGUGGUUGUGGAAAUGGAGGAAUUUAAGCAUUUUUGCAUCUGAUUUCAUUUUCCCAAGUCAACCUCAGAUUCUCAUUUUUAAAGCUGCUAAAGAAUGGUUUAAGGUGCAAAAUUUUGGUGCUAAGCCUGUCAAGAGUAGGGUUUUUUUAGCCUAGGAUCCUCCUCCUCUUAAUUAUGUCAAGUUGAAUGUGGAUGGCAGUAGGAAGAAUGGCAAGGGGUGCUCUAGUGCUGGUGGGAUUUUACGUGCUGCUGCAGGUGUGUGGAUUGCUAGUUUCACUAUAAAUAUUGGUGUGGGGAGUGUGCUUAAUGUUGAGUGUGCUUAAUGCUGAGUUAUGAGGUCUUUUCAUGGCCUAACUCUUGCUUGGAGAUUGGGUUAUAGAAAAGUGUUUGUUGAAUUGGACUGCGCUGUGGAUAUUACUUUAAUAAUGGAUUUUAAUUCCUCUAUGUACCCUUUUGCUCAUCUCAUUACUGCUUGCCAGGAGUUAUUGCACAGGGAUUGGAUUUGCUCAGUUUCACAUGUUCGUGAGAAUAAUAAAGUGGUUGAUGGUAUGGCAAAUUUAGGCCAUAAGUUUGACAUUGGUCUUCAUGUUUUUUAUGAGCCUCCUCUUCUUGUGGAUAGGUUGAUCUUUGAGGAUGUUGUUGGGUUUCCUCAUACCCAUUUUGUUAAUAGUUAGUUGUUUUUCUUGGGUCUUUUGACCACCAAUUUUACCAAAAAAAUAAAUAAAAUAUAAGCUUUGAAAAAGUCCACUAUGAUGCGAAAUAUAUAAGCACACAAAUUAAACCCUCUUUUUAUCAAUUGUAGUAAAGUAUGUAAGUAGGGAUCGUUCUAGGCCGGGGAUUAGGAGGGAUUGCUAAAUCACUUGGAAACUGACUUGAAAACGUGAAAACAAAGUUUAAAACACUAACUAGACUCAAAGAAUGCAAAACUAUACUUUAAAACACUAAAACAAACCAAAAGACUCAAAACAGCCCCUAAACACUCAAAACUACCUUAAACACACAAUCUGGGCAGUUUUGGGACUCUAACACAAACUUGGACGAAUUUUGGUUUUCUAAUGAACUAAAACACUUAAAAACAUAAUCUAAGACAAGUUCUAAUUAAUAUGACUCAAAGAAAUAAGAUGGGGUUGAUUUUGGACGAAAAUAAUUAAAUUAAGACAAGAACAAAGUAAACAAAUUCUUGGACAAAUUUAAGUGAAUCAAAACAAAUUGUAAAAUGAAUUUGAAUGAAACUUAUGGAUAGAAGGCUAGCUAGGAGGUUCUUCUCCACACAUGUCACACUUGCAUACAAAACGAUUUCCAGUUGCUUUCGAUAAGCUAUGAAUACUCAACGCCCCAAAUUAACCGUGAAUUGCACUAAUUAACCCUCAGUUUUUCCACAAGUUAUUGGAUUGGAUGAUUGCAUACGACAACCCAAAACAUUCCCUACAAGUUCCCUACAUGAAUUGCAUAAUAGAGAUACAAGCAAGAAUCAUUAAGUUCUAUGAAAAACAUAAGCAUUGACGAGGCACUUGUUACUAUGAUUUGCAUGAAACUUAUGCCAAGAGUUUACUUAACGUGAUUGUGACUAGCAACCUUUACUACUUGUGAAUAUAAGUUUAUAACAAUUAGGUGAAACUCCCUUAUAUUCUAGCGUCAAAUUCAUGCAUGAAAAUUAAGCGUGCACUCUUAACCAACAUACACAAAUUAGUUUUUAUAUGAACGGAUAAGUAAAUUGAAUUCACAACUUAUGAAUCACAACUGGAUGUAAUCAAAUCAUAUUGCAAGUAUGAACAUAGUUUCGAAUCACCCCCUAACUAAGAGGGGUUUAGUUCCUCAUACUCACAAAGCAAAGAUACAUAAAAUUAGACAUUAAAAUCAAAGGAAACAAAACACCUAAAAUGCUCCAACUUGGUAGCAAGUGCAUCCAAGAUUCCUCCUUUCCCUUGCUUGCGGCAAAUUGGGUUAUGGACAGAUUUUGGGUAGUUUUUAUGAUGUAGAAUGGAUGGGGAAUGGUAUGGAAGGGUUUAGGGUGAGUGUGGAGGAGUGUUUGAUGGUUGGAGGGUGGUGGAGAACUAGGCAAAGAGGGUGGAAGAAGGUGGAGUGGCUGUUAUGUUUUUUCUAGGCACUAGAAUGGUGUUUUUGGGUGUUUUGCUUCCUAGGGUGUGUAUGGACGAAUUUUUGUGAUAAAAUGAUGAAUAUGUGGGAUUGUCCUUUGGCCAAGGGGUGUAAACAUGUAUUUAUAGGCCCCCAAAAAACCUUAGAAAAUCAGGUUAGGUUAAGGAUGAAAUGCAUGGCAAUUUGUGUGUGUGGUGUGCAAUGGUCCAAGGGUGAAAAUGAAGUAAUGAUGCAAAGUGUGAAGGGUAAAAUGGAGUGGUGUUGUAGCUAGGGAGCAUGAAUGAUUGUGUACAUUGCAUAGAGAUGGAAAGGGAGGUGAAAUGUGUGUCAACAAAUGGGUCAAAGGUGCAACAACAUGUGUUGCACAUGGCAUUGGAUUCCAAAUGUGAAUGAUGGAGCAUCAAUUGGUGCAUGUAAUGGAUGUAAAUGUUGUCUAAAAUCUAAUGAGUGAAGGGAACAAGAGGUAUCAAGCAAUUGAGUGUAAUAAUUAAAUGAAUUGAAGCAUGAAAUUAGAAAUUAUGUAGGGGACAAGAGUGAUCAAGCAUGGCAUGGAAUCCAAAGGGAAUUCUAUGUGGUUUGCAUGGCAUGGAAUGCAAGUUGGGGUGACAGAUUUUUGGGCUGUUUUCUUCAUCUUUUGGACCAUAAUUCUUCAUAUUCUUGGCCUCUUUAGUUCUCAAAUUCGUCCAUCCACUUGGCCCAUGCAUUUGCUAUCCAUUCCAAGCCCGAAACAUGCUCCAAAGGCCUCCAAAAUGCAUCUUCUUGCAUACUUUGUCCAUAAAAUCUGAAAACACACGAAAAUGAUUUUAAACAUUAAAAUAACUAAGGAAACACGACAUAAAUGCACAAGAACAAGCCAACUAAGUCGCAUAAAUGUGCUCCUAUCACACUACACCUACUCAGUUGCGGGCCGUGGCCUAUGUGACUUUGGUUCCAUUGAAAAUGGCCAUACGUUGCUCGGCCUAUCCCUCAUUCAUCGGACAAUGCAGUACCUCUAUCUCUCAUUCCUGCAAUGCACUUCGUAUAGGAAAAAGCAGGAAAAGAUUGGAAAAAAAAACUGAGGAAAUGGAUGAAUAAAAACAAUCCUAGAAUCUGAAAUUAAAAUGCAGGAUAAAAAGGAGAUAGAAAUCAAAAGCCAAAGAAACGAAAAGGAAACAAUACAAAAUUCAGUCGGAACGGAAUUCAAAUUACAAAAUUGAUUGCUUCGCUUUUUCAAAAUUUUAUCAAUUUUUGGAUUCGAAUUCAAGAGUGAUAAAAUUGGAGAGGGAACUCAGGGAAGAAAUUGAAGACUUGGAAGCCCUGGGCGAUGAGAGCGAGCAAUCGCUUGAGAGCCUCGCACUUGUCGGAGUCGAAAGGAAAGGAGCGACGCUGACGUAGUGGGGAUCCUAGUAGUGAUGGGCUUGAGUGCCGAUCUGGAACACCAUUGUCAAGGCCUUGCUUAGUCUCCUCUGUUGCUCCGAACUUAUUGAACAUCUUCCGCAACAGGUUUCUCUUUCUCCUGAAAUGGAUGGGAGCAUGUCUCUUUUCUAUCUGUUUUUUUUUUUUUUACUCUUUUUUCAAUGAACAACUACAAAUUAAACUAAGCAAAUAAAAAAUUAUUGGAAUUCAAUCGAAAUUAGCAGAAGAUCAAAAUUACACAAAAGAAAUGAACCGCCUUGGCAUGAAAAUUCAUGUACCCGUUGUGGCAUAACUGGCUCAACAUUCACCAUUUUCAAAAACCCCAAAUCAAAUCCGAACUGCAAAACCCAAAUCGAAAUUCAACAACAAUUGAACAAAAUGAAUAGGAUUAGAAAAUUUCAAUGUUGAAAAAGCACCAAAUGAAAGAAGAAGCACAGAUGAAGAAGCACCAAAACGGUAAGAGGGAUGAAAACACCACCAAAAAAGACUAUAUGAGAGGGUAUGGGAGGUUGAGUUGGUUUCUCCAGAACAGUACGGUUUUAAUCGUGCAACUUUGCAACCGCUAUAACUGCUCGUGGAGAGUUCACUAGGUAUAGAGAUGAGCAAUCAACGGGGUUAGAAUCAAUCUAAAAGUCUGAGCACCUUUCAUGUUAUUGUAUUACAAUUUUAACCCUAUUUUAUUUGUGUAUUACAAUUAUAGUCCUUCUAUAUAUGAAUGGUUUUAUGUUGUUUUUUUUUUUUUUUUUUUUGAAAUGAAAACAUAAUUGGAAUAUUGAAAGCUUCACCUAUUUGGGUUUCUCCCUUUAUAUAUAUAGAUACUAAAAUUUAAUAUUUUUCUUUCAAUAAAACUAUUCAAAUUUAAUAAGAUUAUACUAUAAGAUUUGGUCGAAUAAAAUUUAAAUCAAAAUAAUGUAUCCAUGUGCAUUUUUGGAUACAUUACUACAUAGCUUAUAUACAAUUUUUUAAGGCUAUGAAUGCAUUCUUUUGCCAUUUAUUAUUCAUAUUGUUACAUUGUUUUUAUCCAUUUAUUUAAUAAAAAAAAUUUGAAAUUCUUUUUUUAUCAUAGCCAUUUCAAAUAGAUAUAUAAAGAAAAUUGGAUAUCAAUUCAGAGGUUUGCACCCAACACGGUCGAUUAAUUAGGUUAGAAGUUCAAAUUUGAAAAUCAAGCUUCAUUUUAUAUGUUUAGCUGCGUGAUAUGUGGAUAUAUAUGGAAUAGAUUUCGGGAUUAUGGAUUUAGAUGCUAAUAGCAAGCCUAUUUAAUGUGCAUUCAAGUAUUUUGUACAAUGAAUUGCCACGGUGGAAAGCUGAAGGACUUGAAUAAAAAAAAAUUAAAUGAAUAAGGGUUUAGUCUAAGAAGUUAUCAACCAAAGGACCGAAACUCAAAUAUCUCUAGAUAAAAACUUAUUUUUAUCGAUAAAAGAAAAUUAUUUUUAUCGAAUUUCUAACGUAUAUGGACACAUGGAAGUUGGAACCACUUGUGUGCCUUUUCGUUAUUAUUUUUGUUUCUAUUAUCAUGGGGCCCACUGAUGUAAUAAUGCGUAUUUGUUUUGCAAAACACAUUUUUCAGAACAAAACGUGAUGAUUUAGCCUUCACCAUUUCGAAUAGGUGAGUUAUAAAUAGAAACCACCCGUAAAAUUAUUUAGACGUGGUAACAUGUAUGCCUUUAUUAAUGGUGUUGAGCUCGUAAAAAAUAAGGAAUUUUAACGAAAAAUUCUUGUUAUUGUUCAUUUUAACGAAAAAUCACAUUUUUACACUAAAAAGUCAACCCUAGUACUAUUUAUUUUAUCCUUUAUUUUGUCUUUAUCGUUAAAACUCAAAAUUAUUAAACAUUUUUCAUUAAUUUUCCCUAAAAAAUAUAUAGACGUGGAGGCUCGAGCCAUAAAUUAUCAUGUAUAUUUAUACCAUGGCAGCCCACUAAAAUGCUAUUUUUUGUUUCCUAGAGUGUAAAACAUCUUGUUUGUUGGUCUGGUUAUUUUCCAAUACUAGUAACCACUAAUUACGUGUCUCGAUCGUGAUCUUUAACUGCGAUUAGCGCUUCGAUAUACGUGAUAAGUCCUCUAUAUUUGGGGCAAAGGCUUCCAUUUUUUAAGAAAAUUCCGAUUUAGUCAUUUUACUGUUGAAGCAACCUUCAUCAGUCGAGUGGGUGACUUGUAAAUAGAAACCACCAGUAAAAUUAUUAAGUUUCACUCAAGCCAUACGUGGUAACAUGUAUGACUUCAUUGAUGGUGAUGGGGCCCGCAAGAGAAAGGUGGACGCAAAACAACUUGAGGCCCAUGAAAGUCGUUGCUGUCACAUCCGGCCGAGCCCCCACCAUAUCUCGAGCUUGAUUUUAUCGUAGCACGAUAUUGUCUGUUUUAGGUCCCAACCACAUCCUAACGGUUUUGUUUCUGGAAACUCAGACGAGAACUUUCUAGUGGGUCACCCAUCAUGGGAUUACUUUCGCGCGAACUCGCUUAACUUUGGAGUUUUGAUGGAACCCAAAGCCAGUGAGCUUUCAAAAUGCCUCGUGCUAGGUAGAGAUGGGAAUAUACAUAUGAGGCUUACAUGAUCCACUCCCCUGGGCGAUGUGGGAUGUUACAAUCCACCUCCCUUAGGGGCCUGACGUCCUCGUCAGCACAUUUCCGACCAGAGAUUGGCUCUGAUACCAAAUUGUCACAUCCCAGCCUGGGCCCCCAACACAUCCCGGCUCGACUCCGCCGUAGCACGAUAUUGCCCGCUUUGGGCCCCAACCACACUUUCAAGGUUUUGUUUCUAGAAACUCACACGAGAACUUUCCAGUGGGUCACCCAUCAUAGGAUUGCUCUCCUGCGAACUCGCUUAACUUUGGAGUUCCGAUGAAACACGAAGCCAAUAAGCUUCCAAAAGGCAUUGUGCUAGGUAGAUAUGAGAAUAUACAUAUAAGGCUUACAAGAUCCACUUUUCUAAACGAUGUGGGAUGUGCCGAGUUUUAGCUCUUGGAAAAUAUGGGCAUAAUGGGACCAUUAUGGGAAAAAGAUUUUUGUUUUUUGUUUUUCGGGAGUUACGCACCACAUCAUUAGUCAAGUUCACCAAAUUGAUAGGAAUAAAUGUCUAGUUGCAACUUAUUAUUUUGUUAUAAAUAUAUCAAAGUUAGAGAGAUAACCUUUAUAUUGAGUGAAACGAAGCAGAGGUAAAAUAUCACACGGUAAUUAAAACACAAGGGGAUGGCAAAUUAAAGAGGGAGGAAUAUAUGAUCUUAUUGAACUUUCCUUCUUUCUGAUGUAUUCUCUCUGUAUGUUAUUGCAGGCAUACGGAGCGCUCUAUUUAUAGAGCAGCUCCAAUCAAACCCAUUAAUUGUACAUUCAAAAUUUACAACAUAUACUUUGAAAAUGUGAUUCCUACAAUUCCAAAGUCUGCUGCCAAUAUUUUCAUUAGUCUGUAAUGUUGAAAAUCCAUUUGUGGGCAUUCAAUUAUCGGCCAAUGUUGUCAACAAUGCUGAUAUUUUCAACAUAUUUUUCUUUUUCUAAUAAUAAAAAACUAAAUUCCAAAGAAUAAUAUCCUCGUCUUCCUAAUUUUGCCAAAAAUUCUGAAAAAAAAUCGACCAUUUAGAAAGCGACAACGAAGGGUAAAUUAUUUUUUCGAUGUUUUGAACUCCUGUUGUCUUUUCGCACACGUUGAUAUUAUAUACAUUAAUAACUAACUACACAUUACGCAAUUAAUACAAUAAAAAACAAUUAAACUUUUUUUCCAAUUUUAUUCCAAAAUGAUUAGAGAUUCAAAUAUGUUAACCUACAGAAAUGUAGUGAGAGAUAGAGAAGAGACUUGAGAGAUUAUAGAGAGAGAAGUAGAGAAUGGAAAGCUUCAGUAUAUUUUUUUUUCUUAACAACUACGUAAGUACACUCAUCAGUAUUUAUACUGUUCACUACUUCUAUCACCUUAACUAACUAACUAACUAACUUAUACAAGUGGUAAAAUCACAUCCACACAACCUAUCUCUAUCAAAAUAGAGCUUCAUUUUGUGAAUGAAGUUAUAAAAAACAACGUUCUUAUUAUUACUUUAUUUAUAAUUUAUAGUAUUCUAUAUAUACUUAUAGUUAGGCUCCUCUUCUUGAGAAUCCAUACAUCCCUUAUACUAAAGUAUAUGGACAGCUAUCUCUCGAGCACAUGUUUAGGUUCGGCAUUAAUGGAAAAAUAAAACGGAGCACCUAACAAUGUAUCUUCACAAACUAAGAACUACGAGAUCGCCCCUCUCAUUCUGGGAUGCAUUCUCUCUUCCUAUUUUCCAACUUGCCUUUUUAUAUUAUAAUUUAUAAAAACUCAUUUUUAUCAAUAAAAGACAAUCCUUUUUAUCCAAUUUCAAACAUACAUCUACAUGAGUAAUGUUAGGAAGACUAAAUUUGAAAACUAAAAUUUGAAAACUAAAGGACAUGUAAAUUGAUGAUUGGUUUAUUACUUAGGCGUUCAUACACGUACUUAUUUUUAUUGGUGACACAUCAUUUAAUUUGCAAAUUUAGUAUUUCUAGCAUUACUCCUACAGACCACUUGUGUGCCUUUGCAUUAUUUUUUUUAUAUUCUAUUAUCAUGGGUCCCACUAGUAAUAAAUAAUACAUAUAUGUUUCUCAAAGCAUAGUUUUCAACACGAAACGUGGUGAAACUGCUUCUCUCUCCCUCACCCACUCGUUGUGUCCCUUGUUGUCUAAUUGGGAAUUGGAUCCUCUCCUGAGCUGUCAGGAUCCUCAUGAUCAGCCCACGUAAGCUAUUGAAUUUUAAUUCAACGGCUACAAUUAUUAUAAUUUUUAGAAGGAUUUCUUGUUUGUAGUCGCACGUAGGCUAAUCAGAGGAUCCUAAGCUUGUGCUCAGGAGAGGAUCCAACUCCGUCCAAUUGAUAUGUAUUUGCUUUUCAAAGAAUAUAAUUUACAAGUGAAGAGAAAUUUGAUACUUACAAAUUUUAAACUAAGAAAUAGUAAAAAUAAUACUAUUACAUUUUAUUGAUGAACUCGUAGUAUGCAUAUCCAUUCAAGGACAUAAAGGUUGAAGUAUCUCGCAAUACACUGAUACUAUCACCUAGCGAAUGAUGUCUCUUUACGGAACUACAAAUCUACAACUCAACAUUUAAAAGGCGGAUCCUUUUCAUGGUACAGCUUUUAUUUAUUACAUGUAAUGAAUAGACAGAAGAACGACGUUGACAGGGAGACUAAGAUGUCGCUACGAGUGAGCUCCCGGAUCAUGAAAUAACUAAUACUGCUACCCUUCUGCAAUGCUGGAUCAUAAUAGCGAAAUCUCUCCAACCACCACUCAAACUUCACUAAGCUGACUCCACGGGGAUACACUUUGCGUGGUCAUCACGGAGCAGGCAAAAGAACAGACUUUGGAAAUGACGCAGAUCCAUUGUUAGGAGCACCCUGAAUAUUGAGAAUCGUUGUGACCAAAUUGUAUAUGUGGACAUUUUCAAAACUAGGAACCUUGCGACCUCUUUCAAACCGAGGACCAUGCCCAACAAAUAUGGUCCGCAUGGAGAAAAAAGCAUUGUCAUAACCGUGUGCACCUCCACACUCUCUCCCUUUCGUCCUCUUUUGUUCUACCUUAAAUCCCUCUUCAACCAACCCUACUAUAGGCGUAAUUCGAUCACUCGCUGCAUAAUGGAGCCGACUAGGAAGCUCCUCCUUAAGAUACACUCUCAAAUUCUUCCCAUUCUCAACCUUGCCCGAUUUCAACCCUUCAUUCAUCUUCUCAACAACACUCACAGGAUCAACACCUGAAGGUGGACGAAUGGCGAGCAAUGGAGUAAGUGACUGGACCCAAUCAUUAGGAAUUUCAAUCCAAGGGGCCAAAUCACUUAAAUAAAUUAGCUUUUUAUCGCAUGUACCAACCAUCCCAUGAUCACCCCACCAAAAUUAUAGUAACAUCCUCGAAAACACCUUUUUUCUCUAAACCUUCAAUCAACCUCCCAAUCAUUUUAUCAAUUCCAGCAACAGCUUCAGUAAUCUCCCGAUCGUCAGGCCCGACCUGGUGACCCUGAUGAUCGGGAUCCUCGAAGUACAGAGUCAUAAACACAGGAAUUUCACUACUAGGCAUAUCAAAGUAAUUCAAAACGGCAUCAACCCGUUGUUCGAAAGGAACAGAGCCAUUAUACUGCAUACAAAGCUUAUCAGGGCAAGUCCAAGAACCUUUAAUUACCUCAGAACCCGGCCAGAAGUAAGUGGCAGCCUUCAAACCAUGAUUCGCCACCGUCUCCCACAGCGGCUCGCCGAGCCACCACUUGGACUCGUGGCUUCUCAUGGUGAAGGACUCCCCUGUGUGCGGGUCCACAAAGUGGUUGUCGACAAUUCCAUGGUAAGCAGGGUAAAGACCUGUGACAAUUGAGUAAUGGUUAGGAAAUGUCAGAGUUGGAAACACCGGAAUCAAACCCUCUUCCGCCUCCGUCCCGUUGGCGAUGAGGCGGCGGAUAUUCGGCGUCGGCGCCUUGAACUGGUACCCGAAUCGAAACCCAUCCGAGGAAACCAACAGAACAACCGGAUGAUCGAGUUUUCUCAAAGCUCGAGCCUUGUAUUCCAGUGACGAGGACUCGUAGACGGGCGCGGAUUUCGGUGAGUUGGAGAAGAAUAGAAAGGCGAAGGCGAAGGCGGCGGAGAGAGCAACGCAGGUGGUGAGGAGGAGAGAGAUGAAGAUGACGGUGGUGCUGGGUUUGUGAGAAGGGGAAGACGAUGGGGUCGGAGAGGCGGAGGGGUCGGUGUUGAAAGAGAGCAGCGCCGCAGAUGGGCUCCGCGACCGCGAGUCUUCGUCGUGGGUCGGAAUCGGAGUGGAUUUCACGGGAGUCAAAUCCGAACCCAUCAGAAGAAACCAGGUGAUUGUUUCUGGUUCGUUUUUCGAUGGGUCGGAGAUUGAAGGAUGUGGGGUUUAGGGGUGAGGUGUUUAGAGAGAGAGAAAGUGUGGGGUUGGAGUGAGCAGAAGGGAUUAAAGGUUGGGUCUUUGGGUGGAGUUGCAGACAGUGGCUUGGUAGAGCUUUUGGAGAAGACCGCUUUUUAAAGAUUUUUUGGUUGACGUGAUUUGAGCUGGAAGGAAGGUUUCUACGAGUCUACGGCACCGACUUUGGUGUUAGAUUUGGCGCAUCUAAAUUCUAAAGAGUAAAUUAUACAAAUGGUCCCUCAAUUUUAAUCAAAUUGGAGCAAUGGUACCUCAACUAAAAAUCCAUUACCAUUGGUCCCUCAACUUAUCAAAAUGUGUAGCUAUAGUCAUUUUCAUCAAUUUUGUCAAAAUAAGCUAUGUUGGAAUUACCAUUUAUAUAAUUAGGUACAUUAACUCAUCAAAGUGUAUAAUUAUGGUUCUUUUUGUCAACUAUGUCAAAAAAUUUGUCAAAACGAGUUAUAUUGGAAUGACCAUUGCUACAAUUGGGUUAAAGUUAAAUGACCAUUUCUCCACUUGAAUUAAAGUUCAGGGACCAAUGGUAAUGGAUUUUUAGUUGAGGGAUCAUAGUUGCACGUUUUGAUAAGUUGAGGGACCAAAGGUAAUGAAUUUUUAGUUAAGGGACCAUUGCUCCAAUUUGAUUAAAGUUGAGGGACCAUUUGUACAAUUUACUCAAAUUCUAAACGGUAAAAAUACGUAUGUGUACAACUUUUUGUAUUUAAUAUUUACUUCUUUCAUUUCAUGCUUAUUUUUCAAUAACAUGUAUUAAAAAGGACAAUCUUCUCAUUAAAAAAAUGAAAAGAUAAUGCUUGAAUCCAAUUGUUUGGGCGUAAAAAUGAGCACAAUUGCAUUAGGAUUCAUACACCCGAUCUUAUUUAAUGUGAUAAGGCUUAGUUGUUGUUUAUUAUAUUGUUUGGGCCCAAAUUUACACCAUCGGCCUGUGCAAUCAAGGCCGUUGAGUGAGCAUAGCUCUCAACCGUUGGAUGGAAAAGUGAAGAUAAUUUUGUUGUUGUUAAAAGAUAAUAUUAUGGUUCUUAUCAUAAUAAUUAUCUUUUAAUUAUCUUGACAUAUGCAAAUUAUAUCUCUAAAGUGGUACAGUUCAAAUUAAAUUGGGAUAUGCGUGACAUCAGAUAGUGAAGCAUGCAGAUGAUAGUCAUACAACUGCAAAUGGACUAAUGCAUGCACAGAUAGAGAAGCCUAGGUAGGUUUGACUUUUGGUAGUGAUGUGAUAAGCCUAGGAUUUGAUGGUGGAGAGAGAAGCAUAGGUAAGCUAGGUCUUUGGUCAUGAUGGGAUAAGCCUAAAUAGUUUUUAUAUUUUGUUUGAAAAGUCAGCCAACCUAUGCCACGGAUCAGAUUUCAUUCUGCGAGGAAGAGUUGCAGUCAGACUCUGCAACAUUACAUGACCAUGCAAGCCAAGUACUUCAGUCUUAUAAAUACAGAUGCAAUGGUAACGGAAAAGAGGCCCCUCCAAUUCAACACACAACUGCCUUGCGCAAACUCUCUCAACAACUUGAGAUUUUUAUUUUCUCUUUUCGCUGACACAUCUUCCGUUGGCAUCAACAGCACUGUGAAAGCAACCGGUGAUAUCUUCAGUCGGCAUAGAUAACUCUGUCGCCGUAGAAUCAGCCGAUCUUGCAACAUCUUUCGUUGGCAUCAACAGCACUGCGGCAAUGACGGUUGGUUACCUAUCCAAGUCUCGGUCGAGAAGGGUUUCCAAAUCCUUAUUGAUUGAGGUCAUCUCAUUAACCUUCUCGGCGAAGUGAAGUGUUAUAGCUUACUGAGCUCAGCGCAUUGCACGCCAAGUUAUUUUAUGAUUGGAUACUUUCAAGUAGGAUUUAAAGUUCGGCAUUCAGACGGUCGAACACCGUUUACUAUUAAGACUUAUAUCUGCUUUGAGUAUUUGUGCCCUUACACUUUGGUGUCGAUUCGGCGUGAGUUUACUCUGACGAAUACCAUCACUGUGACCGAAUUCGACGACGACGAUUCGUGAACUUCGUAAAAAUAGUAGCCUUGUCUUCAGGUUCGAGGACCAAAGAGGCCGAGACGUGUUCCUUCCUCAGCCCCAAUCGCAAGACGCAGAAGUCAGUCGCGCACCUAACGCAACAUCAACAAAUUUACUCAUCGGCCGAGCUCGGCCGACGAGUUGGCACGCCCCGCAUUCACCAAAUGACGUAGUUAGCUUAUAGAUUACUCGGCCUGAGCGCCACGUAGGCUUGGUAGUUUUUAGGAUCAGAACAUAUGAAUAAUGAAUUUAUACAUCUAUUUCAAUUUUGUCUUAUGAACUAAAAUUUUAAGAAAACCUGUCCUAUCCAUAAUUAAGUCACCGUAUAUUGUGUUCAUGGUUAUUUUAGAUUUUAGACUUUUUUUUUCAUUUCAUUGCUUGUGAGAAUAUAAUUAAUAAAAUCAAAGUCAAGUUUGAUAUUUAUCAUUGUCUUAGAAGACAAUUAUAUUUCAGGAACAUGUGUUAUAUGUCAUGAGGACUAUAAUGUUAAAGAGAAACUCGAUCAGAAUUUUGUAAGUCGUUGUAUUAAGUUUUAUGUUUGUUUUACCAUAUAAAAAAUAUUAACUGAUUAUGCGCACUAAGUAAUGAGCAAGGAUUUAAAUAUCAAAAAUAUCGGCGAAAUAUUUUCGUUUUUUUGAGUUAUAAUAUCGCGAUAUGACAUCCAAAAAUUCUUAAAAUUUUCUAAAAAGUCUCAAUUUUGAGACUAAAGGGAUUCGAACCCCCUCCCAUUUGACUCUUAACGCCUUAACCACCAUAUCACUUAUGUUGUUGUGAUAAUAUGCUACUAUAUUUAUAUAUAUUGUUUGUUUUGAAUUCUUUUUACAAGAAACAAAUUUGCACAUAUUCCAAAUUUUUUGUGGUAUUAUAUUUUAAAUUGUGUCAAUUAAUUACUUAGUCAAUGGCAUGUGGUUUUUAAUUUUUCUAUUUUUUAUUUGGUCACUUACAUGGUAGGGCUGGAAAAAAUUCCUGAAAAUCCCAAACCAAACCGAAAAAGUCCCAAACCCAAACCGAAAAAUCCCAAACCAAAACCAUCCUGAAGUUCGGGAAUCCCAUCCCGAAAAAUACCGAAAUUUUCGAUAUGGGAUUGGUUUCCAAAUCCCAUUUGUUUGGUAAUCCCGAAAAAUACCGAAGUAUUCGGUUUCCUAUUGACUUUUGGGUUUUGGUUCUUGAAAACCAUUGCCAUGGUUGCUGACUACUCUUCACAAUACACUUACUCUACAAAUAGAGAUGAUGAAGAUAGUGAAAAUUUUUGAACCUCAUAGGAACUCUAUGUGGUACUAAGUCACUCAUGUAUCUUACCAUGCAAUGUAUAACGUGUAAAAUAUUGUACUAAUUCAUUAUAUAUAAAUGAUUAUGGUGUGUUUAAACUUCUUUCAUUAAUUACUACAUAUUUUCUACAUUCACAAUGUUUGCCAGCUCGCUAUAUAAUCAACUUAAAUCAGUUAAAUCCAUCAUGCAAUGCAUUUCCUUCCAAUUUUUUGUGAUAAACUAAUAGAUAAUUGACUAAAUAAACAUCCUGCAAAGUUUCAAUAAAAAUUUCCAAGUUUUUCUUACAAUUUCCGUGGUUUCCAUGUAAUUUUUAUCGAUAUCGAUAUUAUCCCGAUAUUUCCAUCGAUAUUUCUGUGUUUUCGGACUAUCGAUAUUUCCGAUAUUACCGAUAUUUUCUUCCUUGGUAAUGAGAGAAGGUUGCUUAUAGUUCACUACAAUUUUAAAGUAGUAGAAGUACAAGAUACGGUCUAAAUUUUCAACUAAUUUGAAAAAUACAUGUCUGGAUUAACCUUAAAAAAAAAUUAUUAAAGUGAAUUUGCUAAAAAUAUAAUUAAUAAUAAAUUAAAAGUAUGUUUAAAAUCAUAUAUGACAUUUAAAAAAUAAUAAUUCUAAAAUAGAUAAGAAAGUAAGACGAUUCAAGAAAAACAAGAACAAUGGUGGAGCAAAACGACGUCAUUGAACCCUUCAGAAAACAAAGUAAGGUUGUGCUUGCAGAUACUGAGAGUGUUAGAUCGAGCAGACAGAGAGAUGGCGUACUUGAGCAUGGGAGAAGCUCACAGAAGAAUUACCGAUUACCUCAACCGCUUCUCCGAUGCCGUUUCGACCCAGGACGGAGCUUCCCUCAAGCAUCUCCUCUCUCUCUCCUCCAACAGCCCCGCCCUCCUCUCCCUCGCCGACGCCCUCAACGUCUUCCAGGUAAUACAUUAUCACCGGUGUGUAUAUUUGUAUACGUAUUUGUAUUUGUUUCAAUUUGGGAAUUUAGGGUUUUGAUUGGUGAGGGUUCUUGGUGUGUGACAGGACUUCAAUAGAUUGAUCAAACAGUCCGAUAACGACUCGCAGUUUGGCGAAAUUCUGGUGCAUCUCUUCCGGGCUUUUCAGAGUUACCGAAUUGGGACUUUCAUUGAUUCCUAUCAGGCAUAUGAAAAAUCUGCAAAGUAUUGAUCUUUUUUUUUAUUGAUUUUUUGUUUUAUUUAAUUCUGUUCUGUGUGAAAUUUUGCAUUUGGUUUUGGUUUUGGUUUUGGACUAAGGUUAACGAUGGAUGUGCAGUGCUUUUAUUCAGGAGUUUCGGAAUUGGGAUACGGCCUGGGCUUUGCCAGCAUUGUAUGUCAUUGCUUAUGAGAUUAGGGUUCUAGCUGAGAGGGUAAGACCCCCAGUUUCCUUUUUUAUUUAAUGAAAAGAAAAUUAAUUUGUACUUUAUUAGUGUUCUGUCAAGAUACGUGCUUUAUUUCAUAAUUGGUUGCCGAUAUGUUGGGAAGACGAAUUUAGUAGGACUGGCCUGUGUGGAACUUUUAUAGGCUGAUAAGGAAUUGGCUUCAAAUGGAAAGUCUCCAGAGAAGUUGAAGGGAGCUGGCUCUUUCCUUAUGAAAGUCUUUGGCGUUCUUGCUGUAAGAUUCUCUCUUUUGAUAUUCUAUUUAUUUCGCUACCCUUACUAAACUUUGGUUUGUAUUUUGUUCUCUUUGCAAGAAAAGUCCGUUCCUUUACUCAAACUUCUAUACAAUAAGAGUUAAUAUUUUCUUGGGUGUUUACGAACAAUUGUUUGAAUCUGUACUGCUAACUCUUUCACUGGUGUAUCCAUUAUAGGGAAAAGGCCCGAAACGUGUUGGAGCAUUAUACGUCACUUGCCAGUUGUUUAAAGUUUACUUUAAGGUAAUUUUUUCGCACACUUAUGAGUUCGGCAGUGCUUUUAAUAUCUGAAUUAGCUAUUGGGGUAUCUUUUGAAUGCUGAAUAAAGCACAAAUAGCUAGACCUGCACUAUGAUGAUCAUCAUUAUUACUUUGCAGCUUGGUACAGUUCACCUUUGCCGCAGCGUCAUAAGGAGCAUUGAAACUGCGCGAAUAUUUGAUUUUGAGGAAUUCCCUAAGAGAGAUAAGGUCAGAAUUGCCUUUGGUAGAGCAAAUGCAAUUUUUUUUUCUUUCCUUUUCUGCUCCCUCUCCUUUUGAAUUUGUUCUCUAUCGCAGCUAGUUUUUAUGUUUGUUCUUACUGUUGUACCGUGAUGUGCAGGUCACCUAUAUGUAUUAUACAGGUCGUCUGGAAGUUUUCAACGAAAAUUUCCCUGCUGUACGUAUUCUAAUUUUCAUGAUGUUCUGACGCCUUCUUGUAUAUUAAGCUAUUUAAGUGGUUGUUUGGUUUUGGUUCGGGCAUUACCCUCUGGAGUCUUGAAUCUAAAAUUUAGAGACACUGGAUGAAGAAGUGAGCAGUUCCAUACUUAUGCCUUACCAUAUUUUUAAGUAAAGAAAUUGGUUACCACUGUUAACAUCCAGUCUCAGCAGAUAUGUGCUCAAAUUAUAGAUUUGAUCUCAGUGAUGAUUGAUCUUGUACUUUGCCUGAAUACACUUAUUUCCAUGCCUGCAAAAAGCUCCAGAACUGAAAUCUGAGUUUCCAUCAGGUGUGUGCUAUUCACUAAAUCUACUUUUGUUACAUUGCAGGCUGAUCAGAAAUUAUCAUAUGCCUUGGAGCAUUGCAAUCCUCAGCGUGAAGCAAAUAUAAGGUAAGGUUUCAUCUGCAUGAUAGACUUUACCGCCGGGCCCCCCAGGGGGGGGGUGGGGGUGGUGGGAUUGUUGUUGUGCCUACAUAUUCUUCAGAUUGAAGUGUGAUGUUUAACUUCUUGCGAUAGGAAGUCAAAUGUUAGAUUUGUGAUAUGUUGUACUGUCUUUUAUUGUCCGACUCAUUGUUUCUCUUUUUGUAUUUACAUAGGAUGAUAUUGAAGUAUUUGAUACCUGUGAAGCUUUCAUUAGGCAUCUUACCAAGUGAUUGGCUUCUGGAAAAGUAUAACCUGGUUGAGGUAUGGCAGUCCCUUAUUUAUUUUAUUUGCAAGAGUUAUUAUUUAAAGCUUGAUGAUGGGAAAUGAGAUAUUCCGGUAUUGCUUAGCUAUGUUACUUCCCCCUCUCCCGUUUUCCAAAGUUGUGGCUAAACCCUAACUUAUAACUUCUUGCUUUUGCAGUAUAGGAAUGUUGUACAAGCUCUAAAAAGAGGUGAUCUUCGACUUCUUCGGCGUGCUCUUGAAGAGCAUGAAGAUCGGUACGUGUAUCAUGCAUUUUGAAAAUCUUGAGAUUGGUUAAAAUCGAUUUCCAAAGAUGGAACUGAUUCCUUCAAAAUGAAACAGGUUCUUAAGAUCAGGUGUAUAUCUUGUCCUAGAGAAGCUAGAACUCCAAGUCUACCAGAGAUUGAUAAAGAAAAUGUAAGCUCUCAUGCCGCUUUAUAAAAUUGAUGGUAAAAUUCCUCUGAAGAUUCAAUUCACGACUUCCCCAAUCUCGUUGUGCAGUUACUUCAUCCAAAAGCAAAGGGACCCGGUUAAAGCUCACCAGCUGAAAUUAGAAGUAAUUGUUAAAGCUUUGAAAUGGCUUGAGAUAGCCAUGGAUGUCGAUGAGGUACUUGUUUUCUCCACCUCUCUAUCUCUGGUAGAGUGGUUCUUGGUUUCUCCGUUUCUCUCUAAUCAAAUAUCUGGUGUAAUUUGCAGGUGGAAUGCAUAGUAGCCAUAUUAAUAUACAAAAAUCUUGUAAAGGGAUACUUUGCUCACAAGAGCAAAGUUGUGGUUUUGAGCAAGCAAGAUCCUUUCCCUAAAUUAAAUGGAAAGCCUGUCAAUUCAUAGAGAAUAUCGACACAAGUAAUCAGGUGAUGAAAAAUACAGUAUGAAAACGAGAUAUGCCGGCCAGUUCGUCAUUGGAAACCAUUUUUAUCGGCCCCGUGAAGAAUCGCUAUAUUGUACCCCUUGUAUCUUAACUUUUUGUGAAUCUCAGUAUUCUUAGUUAAUUUUUAGAACUUAACAGCCAUCUUAUGUUCCUGUUUAUGCUCAUUAUUCACCCAUCAAUUUUGUUCGAAGUCGAACCAAUGAUGCCCUUUAUGUCCGUAAAUCGGCUAUGGUAAACUCAAACACUGGCGAUUGCUGUGAAAUAAAUACGGAUAAAAUUCUGUAUGAAAGAGAUGCAUUAGCAUUAUGCACUUUAGAAACUUAACUCAUCUGAUAAAAUAUUGAAAAGGACAUCCAAAAUUGUAGAGGUUACUCGAAACACCAUACCAGACCCCAAAACGGGGAAGGAAAAAACAAAACAAAAACAAGCGAAAACAAUGUCUCUUCAAACUUGUAAUUGCUUCAACACAUAAGCCAUCCGCCAUUGGAAUAUGAUCUGAUAUAUAUCUACUCUCCGGCAUACGAAACAAACUGUUAAACUUGGACUUUCAAGCACCAUCAGAGUUCAGAGGGAAGGGUAGUCUGUAUGUUUGAAGGCAUCAGAAUAUUAUAACCAUCUGCCGCAGUUGAAACGAGCAUGCCAGGAAUCUGUGUGUGCCAAUGAAGUUCUUUCAAGUCCUUUUGUCCCUGUUGACCAUAAAUUACCAUGAGUUAAAUGACCGAAAAAGUGGGGCCUCUUGGAGUAGAACAGACAGUCGAAUAUGUUUACCUGAUGAACAAAUAAAAGCUGUGGAGGUAAAUCUUUUGGAGCAUUCACUUCCUCUUUUGUCUUCGCUUUGAAUUCUGCCUCUUCCUCCUCAUCAUUUUCUAAAGAAAGAUCCCAUAUUCUGGUAACAAAAGCCAAAUGACAAAUAUUUUGAGUUCAAACAUAAACAGCAUGAAAGCAUAUAAAUUUUUGUGCACGACAUGCCAUUUAUCACUUCAAUCUGGUCUGUAAAUAUUACUUACGUCAGCUGAUUGUCAGAAGAUGUCACAGCCAAAGUGGAUGCUUCAUGUGGACUCCACUCGAUGGAGGUGAUAGGGUGUUUAUGGUAUUCAAAAUGUGCCACUACAGAAUCUCCUUCCUACGUUCAAAUAGACGAAAGAGGACCAUAUCAUUUUAGAAUUAUCAACUUAAAGAAUCACUCAAAACAAUUUCAUUGAACCCAAUUUAGCAGUCAUGGGAAUUCCAACAAGACGUACCUUCAGCAAUCUAAGAUCACGAAUGGAAAAGGUGCCAUCAUCACUUCCAGAUGCCAGCAUACAACUAGCCAGCCUGAUAAGAAACAAUGAAGUGCCAAGGUCAUCAUUUCAUAUGUGGCACAAAUGUAUCAAAACAAAUAACAAAUAAGAAAAUAAACAUUGAAGGUUUGAAUAAACACCUAUUCCAAGACAUAACAUUCACAUCAGCAUUAUGCGCCUUAAAAGAAGUUGCUGGUGCCUUCCCCAUGCGUAUAUCCCAUAUUGCUAUAUUCCCAUCGACAGAACAAGAGGCAAAGACAUCAGGUUCCGUAGGACUCCACUGCAAAGAUAAAAGUUUUUUAAAAAGAAUACCGUCAAAGGAUUGGAAAGAUUAAGGAAAACUAUUCUAACUAGAUUGUUAGAUUGAUUAUAUGCUUUAAAACAACAGAUUUAGCUUCCCCUCCAAGCUACAUACUUGUAAAUCCUCCACACUUGCAAUAUGUCCAAUAUAUGGGGUAGUAUCAACAUUCCAUGUUGAACCAGAUGUAGGUUCCCACAAAUGUAUACAAUUCUUGCAGUCCCCUUUUAAAAUCAGACAUAAAUGAAUCAUUAGUUUCAAGCUUUCAAAUCAAGAAAGUACUAUGCCAUCACUUACACUUGAUAUAGAAAAAGAAAAAACAAAUAAAGUGACUUGAUAAUAGUACCAGAUAGAAGCCUUCCAGGUACAAGGGGACUCCAGUCUAGAGCAAACCCUUCAUCCUUAUGCCCAAAUUUAACCAAUGGAGCCUGGUUAAAUACUGAAGAAGCUCCCUGGCUAGCUUCGGUCUCUGACUCGGCUAAGGCAUUUAAAUGAGAACUGAAGUCCCAAACCUGAAAGAGCAGCAGGAUUAAGUCACGUACAAAGCAUAUGUAAAUGGUCUUUCGAGCAUCGGUUUAAUAUAUACUCAUACUCAUAAUCUUGACAUAAAGUCAGACCUGCACAUGACCAGUGUCUGCCCAAGAUGCAAAUAUAUGUGGAUUUUGUGUCAUGGCGCGUAUACGAUUCACACAUCCUUCAUGAGCUACCUUGCGCAACUGUAUAUGAGAAGAAGAAAAAAUGUCAAGGCACAGAGAUGAGGUCAAAAUUAAGAAAGAUAAAGGCAAGAUAAAUCAAGCGUGGAAUGUAAAAAUAAAAAUAUUGCCUGCAAAACAGGUGCGCCAGAUCCACUUGACUCCUCAUCCUCGCUAUCAUCGUCACUAUCACUGUCCUCACUAUCCAUAUUAGAGUCAUCAUCUGCAGCUUUGGCUGGCACUGGCUCGCGCUUUUUCCCAGAAAUGUUAGAUACUUUAAAUAUUCCAAGAGAGUUCCAAGCAGCUUUCUCUGCCUGAGUCCCAGCAACGAAAUACACACUAUGGGGGAACUCUGUCCGAACCAACCCCAACGUAUCCCGUACAAUAUCAAAGCUGUCAAAAGUAAUUAACUUCUUUUAGCCAUUUACUCGAAACCUAUAAUUCUCUUAGAAAGAAUGAAACUUGAAUUCUUAAAUAUAACCAUUACCAGCAAAUUAAGUAUAAAAUUGAACCUCUAAAACAUAACUCAAUAUUACGAGUAGACGUGAGCUUUCCCGAAACGAAAAAAAAAAGAGAAGCUAAUUAUUCACAAACGCUAUAAGUCUAAGCUUUAGUUCAAUUCAGCUAAUCAAACUCCAAUAAUUCAAACCCACAAUUCAAAAUUUCAACUUUAUGCUUUUCCUGCACUUUCUAUGCAACCAAAAAGAAGAAUCCAUAAGAUUCAGAGCAACCUUAAACAAGGCCAACCAAUAUGGAAGGCAUGGAGAGAAUUGUAAGCUGAUGGGUCACACUGGAGCUCUUCGCCCUCCUCCAACUUGUCCACUCCCGGUUGCCAUACCUUCGCCGGCAUCGACGGUCCCGAAGAGGAAGAAGACCCAUCUCCUUUCUUUGAGCCCUAAACAAAAAUUCGAUUCAAUCAAAUCAAUUGGGGAAAGGAUAAAACCUAAUUUUACUGAAAUAAUUAAACAAUAAGAGGAGAAGGAAGUGGAUUUAGGAGCUGACCUUGGCCUUUCUUUUGGCUUUCUUAGGGUUCUUGAUGCUUCUGACCAUUUCUAAUUCUUCAGAUUUUGCAGGAACACGGAGACUCUGAUGAAGGAAGGCAGGAACACAGAGCGUCUAAUGAGGGAAGGAAGGAGAAGAGAAAGCAAAACUGAAGAGGGUUUUGGUGGGGCUAGGGUUUUAGCUUAUUGGGCUCAGCCUUUAUGCUCAUAAUAUGCUAUUUUUUUAGCCCAAAAAUAAUUUUAUGAUACUGUAGUCCAAUGGGGCUUGUGUUGGAUUUCCAAUCGUAACCCUAAAAAUUUCGACAUUUGAUAGUAUAUUUGGAUAAGUAAAAUAUACUUUAAAUUUGGACAAACGUAAAAGUUUUAAUCAGAACUAUACAUUAGACAUGUAUAUUUCUUGUAUGACCCAUUAACCCUACUCAAAUGAUACGAUUCGUUAACGAAUUAGGUUGUCGUUGGCUAUUCUGUUAAUAACCUGUUAAGAUAACGAGUUUGACACGAUAUGUUAAGAUAACAUAUAAUACGAACACGACAAAUGCGUCUCGUUUGCCAGGUCUUGGUACGCACUCGUUUUGGUAAUUUGCAUCUCCAUUAUAUAUAGAGAUGAGUAUUGGAAACCGUAAGAGUCCCAAAAUCAGCCAUGUUCUAUAUUAUAUACACUUGUAUGGUUUGUUUGUCAUAAUUUUUCAUGGUUAUUUUAUUUUUUAUUUUAUUACAAAUAAUGUUAUUACUUUAAGAGCAUCUCCAACAAUACUAGUUAAAUUUUUGUUGAUUUGGCUAGUCACAACUUUUAACAAAUACUAUUUAUUUUAGGUUAAGCUUCUUAAAAACCAAGCCCUUUUUAAUUUAGGUUAAGCUAAAAUAUUUUUAAUAUGAUUUUUUCCAAACUUAACAACCAAACCCUUUUUUAUUCUCUUGAAACCCAUAAAUAAUGCACUUUUAUAGUUUUUAAUGUUUAAUAAAAAUUUAGUUCUCUCUCUCUCCUCCUAAUAAAUCUAGCAAAUUACUCUUCUCAAAGUUAAGAUAGUCGUUUAAAUAGCCUGUUAGAGCUUAAUUUUUUUUUGCAUUUUUUUGUUAAAGUAGCCAAAAAAGGUUAUUUUUCUAGGUUGGUAGAGAUGCUCUUGUUGAUACAUAUACACUGCUAUAAUACUAUUGAUCACCUCAUUGAGUACAUAAAGUGGUCGUUCAAAUCAAUGUACGUACACAUUUACAACUCCCUACAUAAUCUUUAAAUUUCGAUAAUCUAAAACAUAGGGGAAUUAUAAAAUGGUAGUGUUUUCCACACACCCAUUUAUAUUUCUUCCACAAUUCUCUCAAGUUUCGGCCAUCAAAUUGAAUAAAUUGAAGAAUAUCAAAGACAAAAAAUUAAAAAACUGUUUAUAAGUAAACAUAGGUAUAUGAAUAAUACUAUCCUUAUAAACCCCAUUUACUUGCUAUACACUAUUCACAGAGAAACUUUUGCCAUAGUUUUACAGAAAUGGCAGGGACUGGAAAUUAAAAUAAAUACUCAUCCUGCAUGAUCAUAUAUUGUCUUCUCUGUUUAACUGUUUUUUCUUUGUCUUGUAAGGAGAACAAGUGUGCCAAAGCCAAUCAUAAUUGCAACUUUUAUUGCCUGGCAAGAGAAAUUGGAGCACAAGAAACAAAGAAAUUAGAUAUGAAGCUCCAUACUUUUUAGAAUUGGUUUAAUAACCAUUUCGUUUUUAUAUUCAAGUUUUCACGUUUUGGUCAGAAACGCCAUGAACAAAAAAGGGAGAUAUUAAUAAGAAUGGAGGAAGGUGGCGGAAAAGAUGCAAAAGAAAUGCACAUGUAAAUAAUAGUGUAUAAUAUGAAAAUAAAAAAUUGAAAACGAUUUAAAUGGGGUUUUCUUUUAUUUUUUUAUUUUUUUUUAUAUAUUUUGUAUGUCAUUCCAUCUGCAUUUCUCAUUCCUCCCUCUACAUUCUUGAUUCAUCCAUUAUUUUGUCUACUUUCUCUUUAUAUCUAGUUAAAAAAAUGAAAUGGUCAUCAUACGAGCCCUAAUAAUGCGGAGAAAACGUAUAACCUGCCCAACUGGCCCCCCAAAAGUUCCAGCCUCCUCUGAUGAAUUCUCAACCUUUGAUCUUCUUCUUUGAUUCUCCUCUUUUUUAUCCACGUUAUGCUACAAGUGAUCACAUAAACAUAAGGUAAAAGCAAGAUGGUUCAGCAAUGUGAUGACUAACAAGUUACCAGAAGUUCAGCUGAAAAUUCCAUACCUCUUCAACAUUUUCUGGUAGUGAAAAAUUUGUCUCUCGUUGAUGGAUAUUUGGAUUCUCUCUGCAACAGCCUCGCAAAUCUAUCAUUUUUUUACCAGUAGUUGUUACACAAAAGCGUAUCGCUUCAUCUGGAAAAAUCCAGGCACCGGAGCUCUCAAAGGGAAUGUGCCUAUCUUCACAGUUUGCUACUGAUGUGCAUAAUACAUUGGGACCGGAAUCUUCUUGAAUGUGCCUAUCUUCCAAGUUUGCUUCUGAUGUACAUACAUUAGCACUAGAUGAAGCUCCUUGAACGUCGGUGAUUUGAGUAUUUGUCGAAGAAACUUGUACUCGACUCUCCUCUAUACCUUUGAUGCGCCCAGAAUGUCGCUUUCCACACGGCAUAUCAGAAGGUUCGUGCCUAUGCUUACCAAGAAUCUUCUCUGAUACUUGAACCAUUUCAAAUGCUGAUCGUCUAACGAAAUCUUUGGGAAAGUUACCUUUCUUUAUGUCAGCUACUUGGUCCACAUCUAAUUGUUUGAAUUUAUUCUUUAUCCCAGUGGGAUGUGAAGAUUUAAUCGCAUCCGAAGCUCCAAGUAAACUAAUUUGGUGCCCGCUUUUUUCACCAGAUGUUAAAUCAAGAUUCAAGUCUCCUAAAGGAUCCUCUACCGCUUUUGAUAUUGACUGUGCAGUUUCUGUACUUAUCAUAUUCUUGUGUUCUUCUAAGUUCUGGCUUUCCACAAGAGCUCCUGUUUUAAUCUUAUUUGAUCGAACUUGUAAUGGUGGUGAUUUGAUUCGAGGCCUCAUAUCCUGCAGUCGAAGCAAACAUUAUGCAUCAUUAUUAUGGAAGAACUAGUUCUAUCCACUCGAAAAAGCAUUUAAUCAUCUCUUAUAAAGCAACAUGCCAGACAUACCUCAGCUGAACCGCUUUCAAAGGCGCUUAUCAUUUUCUUUACACUGCUAGGAGUUUUCUUGAUCGGACUCCGCUUCUCGAGGUUUCGAGGCCUAUCUUCCUGAAGAUUAGGAUGAUUUGUUGCGCCAACAGCCGAUUGUGAGCCUCUUAAUACUAUUGAAGUUUUAUCCGCAGAAGUGGCUGUGGAUGGAACAUAAUAAGCACUUCUUAUUCCAAUUACUAUCUGAAAACAAAAUUAUCAAUCUACAAAAAGUUUUCUAACUUUUCAACUUCAAUAUAGGGUAGGAUUUUCUCAUGCAUUCGGAACAUCCAAAAUAACUCUCACGAAAAGAGAAAUUUUAAUACCACAUAGAAAACUAAGGACUUGUCACCUUAUUCGUUCCUGUUACAUUAUGCCUGAAGUUUCUAAAUUUUCUUGUUAAGCGAUUAAGAUCGAACCUGAGAUCUCUUCGCGAAGGUAGAAGGAUGAUGCAACAUUCACCCCAGCACUCAGAGUACUUUGCACACUGUUGGGACUGCUAUUGAUCAACUCCCCUUGUUUCUUUUUCAGUGCAGAUUCUCUCUGCAAGAAAAUUCAGAUUAUAUACCAAAUGCAAGUUGCAAACUUACGACAACUAUAUGAAAUUUCAGUACAAACUGAAAUUAACCAUUCAAAACCAAAAGUCAAAACUAGCAACACAAGAGAAUACCAUCAUUCGGAUUCUGUUACGCUCUUCUUCGUUGAGUACAAACUGCAACUUCAUACGCACAAACCCGCCUCCACUGAGGGGAAACAAGUCAUCCCAAAUACCCUUCUCGACUAUCGACUUAACUUCAACGCCUGAUCCAAAAAUGAUCAUACAUAUUAAUAUGCCUCACUGCUUUUUGCAGACAAAAACAAGAGAAAGUUUAUACAUAUAGGAAUUGUUUUGACAAACCUGCGUGUGAUAUCUCAUUACCCUCAGAAUCUUGAAGAAGAACAACCAAAUUGUCGCGGAGGGACGUCAAUACGCUGUCCAUAACACAACCAGGAUAAGAUACGAAUCGAAUAACAACAGCAUUUAUGAUUAGAAGCAGUUUUAUGAUUAUUACAAGGUGAAGUCUCCCUUGUCCCAAGCUUGGCACUCUCUUUUCCCCAUAGAAACUGCAAUGUGUAUUCAAUCAGUGAGCAUUUUUUUUAAAUUGUUAGAAAUUCUAGACCGAAACUCGAAGAACGAAAUUAAGCUAAGAAUAAAUAAUUGCUUACCCUUGAUGGAUAUUGAGGAAGAAGGAAGGUCUAUGAACUCGAGAACUGCAAAUUCAGCAAAACGUGAAGAAAAAGAAAAAAGUUAACGUAUGUUGGACAUCACCGACUGUUUAAAAAUAGGAUUAGGCGAGAUUAGCUUAUCAGCGCCGUUUCAUGUUUGAAUUAUAGUUGAAAAAUAGCUUUUAGUACCUGAAACUUUGAUGGUUCCUGGCAUUGCAGAGACAAAGAAUUUGCAAACUUCUGUUUUAUUUUUUAUUUUUAAGAUUUGUAAUAAUUUGAUGAAUGGUUGAGGGCUUGAAGGUGGGAGAUGGGAUUGGAUGGGAAGUGUGGAUAUCGUUAGAGGAGGGAGAUUUGGUGUACAACAAUGGUGGGUCCUUCAUUAACUAUUAACCACAUCAAAGUCUUCACCUCAAAGGGCUGAGAGGAAAAAUGACAAAUUUUUUAUCAUCUGACCGACUUGCCAAGAACUGGUCGGGCUCCCAAAGGAGGCACUCAAUGACAGAAAAUUCGAAGGUACACCGGUGAAACUGUCGAAACUGAGGUGCGUUCACCGGUGAAACUGUCGAACUCAGUUGCACCAGUCGAACCACAUGGUUGUGCGGCCACACAUACAGAAAAAGGGUUUUCCGUAUUCCCUGCUUUCUGUUUCUACCCGUGGUCCCAUCAGAAUGGGAGAAAGGUUGUAUGUGGCGGUCGUACACAGAUUUUUCUCCUCAAAUGACCAUUUACCUUCUUUAGUAUGAUGUUUUAGAAAAAUUAUUCUUCAGUUGAGUACUAAUGACAAAUCUAAAUUGUCAGUUUAGUUUCGCAUUCACCAUUUCGUACUGUAUUACUCUUUUUCGGAAUAAUACGAGAUGAGAGAUUCAAACUUGAGAGCCCUUGUGCAAAGAAGUACUACUAGAUUAAGACUAGUCGUAUCCAUAUUCUCAUAUUAUGUAUGUGAAAAGACAAAAAAUAUAAUUUAUUGCAACAAAUUGCCGACACAAGAUACAGAUUGUUCUCAUGGACACGGGAUAUCCUUAACUUGUGCAAAUAUUGGCAAGAUAAUAUGUUGCAAACAUGUUACCUACGCUAAAAAAUAGUAACAAAUUAAUCCGCUGAAAUCAACCUUGUUAAAAAUCCAUCUCCCUGUAUAAGAUUCUAUCAGUAAAGAGAAGCACCAGCUAAAAACUUGGUACCAGUUCUGCAAGGAUAAAACUGUUUAAGAUUGUAUCUUCUUCGCUUUUUUCGGGGUCUGCUUUGAAAUGUUGAUGUUGCUAGGAAGCUACAUCGUCACAUAUCCCAUGUCUCAGAAGUUGUACUGGUUGUUGUAGGAGUUGUUGCAGGAACAGAGGGCACUUCUACUACAGGUUUGUGAUUUUUGACGCCUGUUUCUGAUUUCCGUUUCAAUGUGCCAGGAUCUCGCUUCUUGACGCCAAUAAACAUGUAAGCUGCAAGAGUUCAGAUGCAAGUCGGUUAAUCCUGUCUUUGAGGUUAACUUUUGAAUUCGACAAUGAUGUUAUUCAUACUGUGGAAAAUUUGUGUGAUAAACACAGACAUCAACUAAGGGUGAAUAUAUCUUUAUUGGGAAGAAACUAUUUCACCAAAUGUUAGCUUUUCUCCCCUUUUUUCUUGAUUGGUUAUUUCUUAGUCCAAGUCAUGAGGUGAUGAAUAUAUCAUCUUAAAUAUCUAGAGUGAAACCCCAACUAUUCGCGAUCUAACGAAACCAUCAAUGUGUGUGUGAAGUGGAAAAAUAGGCAGUCAUUUGACAAUUAUCGAACCGAUCAAAGUAUAAGGGAUGGAAGAUGGCUUUUGUCCAGGUGGCAGUAGCCCGCUGAUUAUCAGGGUAGGAAGGGGACUAAACCUUCCUAUCGGAAGAUUGAACAGGGAGACAGUCGCACAACUCAUUCACAGAGGCACACCCAACGCACAAGCACAUGAACAUGCAUGCAAAUAGAAGCAUAGAAGGGAUAUUUCACACAAAGAUUAAUAUCUUGAUAAAGUAAACACUGGCAACCUCUUGUUUCUCGCAAUGGAUGUAAUACCCAUAUCAGUCAUACUCAGUUCAUACUUCCCAUGGGAACAGCUUUAACAACCUCCAAACCACCUUGCCCCGUCCCCCUUUUAACAAAUAGGGAAAAAAAUUUAAACAUUUGGAUUAAGAGGGAAAAUCCCAAAGGACAAAUGGAUGUAUACUUCUGGCAAGGUUUCUGUCGAUCACAAGACAGUGAAGAAUACCUUGUAUACUUGGCGCUAGAGAUGUGAAAUAACAGUUUCUAUAGAUGGAGUAAUCUAAUGUCAAAUUGUCAAUGAAAUUCAGCAUUACUGGUACACUGACACUACAGCCAUCAGAGUGAUUAAAUUUCUUCCCAUACAAAAGCCAUCACGGCAAUCAUUCCAGCAAGAUUCCCUAAUUAAGGUUUGCUCAUUAAUGUUAACUUACUACCACUUUAUUUUAAAAAUCACGCUAUUAAGCUUUUUAAUUUCUAUCAGGCCACAGCCAAGGCCUUCCAAAUUUAGAAAUUCAAAUUUCAAUCAGCAUACCGCACGAACAACCACACGUCUUAUUACCUACACAUGGUGAAGGCUAUCCGAAAUCGGUUGCCUAUGACAUUAAUUGGCCGACUUGGACCAAACUAUACCAAUUACAAUAACAUCCAUCAGUUUCAACCUUAUGUUUAUGAUUUGGUCCCCAAAAAACACCCUAAAGACCUUGACAGAAAUCGGACAAGGGGCUGAAGAGACUCAACUUUUUCCUUCUCUCUCACUGGAUCCCUAUUCUAUGAGCACCAUGACAAAACAAAUUACACUUUCCUAACUUAGCAUUUAACAACAAAUACAAAUUACCCAUCAAACAUUCUAAGCCUAAAAACGCUUCUAUGGGACGCCAAAUCAAACACAUUACGUACAGAAACGAAAACACGCAUUCCAAGUCUCUUAAAUCAAACUUCUGCUCAGAUAAACAAAACCCAUAACCCAAUUUUGCUCAGACGCUCAAACAGUAAAAAAAUCUAGGGUUUUACAAACCCGUAUCCAUAAGCUAAUAAUCUAAUGCAAAAAAUCGCAGAGAAAGUAGAGCCGAAAAGAUGAGGAAGCUGGCUGACCUCCGAGAACAAGAUUGGAGAUCAUGAGGACUCGCCAAAUGAACUUGUAGCGGUUGAUUGGUAGUUCCUUCGCCGGUAAUGACGGCAGCGGUGGCUCCGGCAUCUCUCUCGGUGUUUGACUGUGCGUGCAAAACGCAAGUAAUAUACGAAGUCCCCUUGCAGUCGUUAGUUAACCAAUUUUUAGGACUCAAAGAAGGAUCAAGAUGUUGAGAAAAACGGGGAUGACGAAUAGUACGACGUGUCGUUUCAUUCAAGCGUAAAGAGGCCUAAAAAUGUUACUGGGCCGAGUUAGGUCCAAACUUUAGAUGGGGCACGCUUUGACAAAUCUAAUAAGUCCAUGAAGGCACAAUGUUACAGAAAACCCAAGUUGGCCAUAUGUUUAUGGCACCUAAAAAAUAAAGCACUUUUCAUUUCCGUGACAAACUUAAAUUCUUAUUUUCUCCAUUUUUUUAAUGAGUAAUAUAGCAAGAAUUCAUACUAUGCAAUUUAAACAUAACAAGUGGCUUGUAACUCAGUUGGUUAAGAAUAUUCACCAUUUCACUUGAGGUCCUAUGUUCGAAGGGUAGUUCACCCUUCCACCCGAGGUCCGUGUUCGAAUCCCCUUCAAGUAUGAGCCCGACCUACUCAAUUAAGUCUAGUUAAUAGUGUUUGUACCAUACUUGACCAAUCUCAAAACUACCAAGCACCGGUUAACUUCAUACCUUCAAGGACCCCCUAAGGGAUUCAUGCCGAGGCACCCUUGCCAAAGCACAAGAGUUUCCCUCCGCCCAGGAGGCUAAUCACAUCACGACACAUGUCAACGUCAAACUAAAGCACCUAGAUUCCCAUAUUGACAACGGACAAAAGCCGGAGACUCUUCUCAACUAUAAAAGAAGACCAUUAUCCUACAAUUAAGGAUGAAUGCAAUUAUUGUACUUAAACUCAUCAUUAGAACCCACUAAUGAUGAUUUUGCUUGAACAUAUGUAUUAUGUAAACCCUUCAUUAUUAAUGAGAACUCCUCUACCCCGUGGACAUAACCAAACUUAAGGUGAACCACGUACAUCUUGUGUUUGCUUCCCUACCUCUAUCUCUUUACAUAUAUUAUCCCCACUAGGUGAUCGGAGCAACCGAACGAAGGUCACAAACUUGACACUUGUCAUAAUUUGUUUGUUUGUUUUACUUAUUGUUGUUAGAGUAUAGCGCUUAAGAUUGAGACACUUGUCAUAAUCCAUUGAUCCUAUCUCUCUUGAAAUAAUUUGUUUGUUUUACUUAUUGUUGUUAGAGUAUAGUGCUUAAGAUUGAGACACUUGUCAUAAUCCUAUCAUAUCAGUUAGUUAGGUUGUUAGCUUUGUAACUUAUAACAACCUAUAUAAGACUAACCUCAUGUAAUUACUUACUGAUUAAGAAAUAUACAGAUUGUUCUUCUUCUCUCUAACAUUCUUUUCUCUCCCUCUAAAACUCCUCAUCUGUUCUUCCUUCAAUAUACAAGAUUACAUUGUAUGAAUGAUCAAUUGAUAUAGCUUAACAUGGUAUCAAUCGCCAUUGUAGCUUACGCUUGACGUUUCAAUCCUUUACUGCUUCCGCACAUUCUUUCUCGGAUCGAUUAUCCUCUUCAAUUCGGUACUUCGUCUUCUCCAAUUUCUUGUUUCUAUAAUUUCUAGGGUUUCUAUAUUGAUCUUCAGUUCUUGAUCGGUUUUCUAUACAUAUUGCACACCACAUGUCUGUUGUAUUGUUUCACUAGUAAUUGGAGCUUGGAAUCACGAUGUUGACUGUUUCGCAACUUCAGCUGCUUCAAUCUUCGAUUACGGCUCUCAUUCCGUCCAUUUCUAUGUCGGUUAAUGUCAAGCUUGAUGAUUCAAACUACCUUAAUUGGCACUUUCAGAUGCAGCUUUUGCUUGAAAGCAAUGGAAUCAUGGGGUAUGUUGAUGGCUCUACUUCCUGUCCAUCUCAACAUGUCUCGAUAUCCGGCGAAUCUGGUAACAAUUCUCCUGUUACUUCUUCUUCUGCUAUGAAUGAUGAAUAUGUCGUGUGGAAAAUGCAUGAUAGAGCCAUUAUGCAAUUGAUUACUGCAACAUUAUCACCUAUUACUAUGUCUUGUGCCAUUGGUAGCACUAGCUCCAAAGAUUUGUGGGUUAGGUUAAAGGAACAAUUUUCCACUGUGUCUAGGACUAGCAUUUUUCAGAUGAAGUCUAAUUUGCAGACAAUUAAGAAGGGAUCUGAUUUAAUUUCUUAGUACUUCCAUCGAAUUAAGGAAGCCAGAGACUAUCUAUCUGCUGCUAGAGUGUAUUUUGCAGAUGAAGACAUUGUAAUCCUUGCAUUUAAUGGGCUACCAGCUGAGUAUAACACCUUUAGAUGUGUCAUAAGGGGGCGUGAAAGUGUGAUUUCACUUAAAGAUUUCAGAUCAUAGUUGCUUGUCGAAGAAGCCAUUGUUGAUUAUUCCACCCCUGCACCUUUUAUGACAGCUAUGGUUGCCAACACAGGUCCAUCUGCUUCAAAACGCUCUAAUUUUUAUACUCGUGGUUUCUCUUACACUUUUGGUCAAUCACAUUUUGCUAUUGGAGGUUUCAAACCAUAUACUGGGACUAAGAACAAGAAUAAAGGCAUAUUCAAUCAGGCCUCUAGAUUUUAUAAUGUUAAACCUAUGUUUUCUACUCAAACACAUGUGCUUCCCAACUCUAAUCAUGGACUCCUUGGUCAGUCACCUAGUUCAUAGUUUGGAAGUCCUUCUGCACCAAUGAUUCCAAUCUGCCAGUUAUGUAACUUCGAAGGUCACACUGUUCCAUUAUGUGGAUCUUCUUCCGCUGAGAGAAACAAAUGUCAGAUUUGUGGUAGAAGCAAUCAUACCACCUGGUAUUGCUUUUACAAUGACAAUGGUCCAAACUUUAUUGGGAUGCAUAAUACUACAGCUUAUUCUUCGCAGUCAUCUUAUCAUAUGCAACCAUAAACUGUCAACUACUCUUCAUUCACACCUACACAGUUUUAAUCACAACAACCUCCUAUGCAAGCAAUGCAUACAAUGCUUAAUCCUGCAUCACAGUCAUCAAGUUCUCAAGCUUCUCCUUAGGUGUGGAUUACUGAUUCAGGGGUAACUAAUCAUAUGACAGCGGAUUUGACAAACAUGUCUCUAGCAUCGCCAUAUCUAACAAAUGAAACCAUUCAAAUUGCAAACGGUGAAGGUUUGACAGUAUCUCAUGUUGGUUAUUCAACUGUUCAUACACCAAUUUCUUCACUCAAAUUGAACUCUGUGCUCCAUGUUUCUCAAUUAACUCAGAACCUUCUAUCAGUACAUCGAAUUUGUCUUGAUAACAAUUGCUAGCUGAUUUUUUAUGCUUAUUGUUUUUGGAUUCAGGACAAAGCCACAUGGAGGAUCCUUUACAAAGACUUGUGUAGUAAUGUCAUGUACCCUAUCCAUUCCUUGACAAAUUCAACCUCACAGAAGAUCCAUUCAGCUAAGGCACUUCUUGGACACCUUGUGUAGUCUAAUCUCUGGCACCAUAGGUUAGGUCAUCCCUCAAAUAAUGUUGUAUCUCUAAUGUUGGCCAAAGCUAAUGUACCAUUUACAAAAAUCUCUUUACCUAUAAUGUGUCAUAAAUGUCUAGAAGGGAAAUUUAGUAAACUACCUUUUCCAAAGCAUGUCAAUAAGUCUGUAUUUCCAUUUGAGACAAUUCACACUGAUAUGUGGGGUCCUGCACCAUGUGUAUCAGUUAAUAGUUAUAGAUAUUACACCAUCUUUGUGGAUGAAUGUACCCCACAUUGAUGGAUUUUCCCAUUAAUAAACAAGUCAGAUUUGUUUCCUACAUUUGUUGCUUUUCAUUCCUUUGUUGUUACUAAAUUUCUACAACAAUUAAGACUCUUCAAUCUAAUGGAGGGGGUGAGUAUAUCAGCAACAAAAUGAAACAGUUUCUCAUUGAAAAAAGUAUUUCACAUCAUUUAUCCUGUCCAUACACCCCUGAAAAAAAUGGAUUAACGGAGAGAAAGCAUAGACACAUCAUUGAAACCACAAUCACCUUGUUACAAACAGCUCAAUUGCCAUCUCAGUUUUGGUCCUAUGCUUAUCAAACAACUACCUAUCUUAUAAAUCGAAUGCCCAUUACUGUUCUUAGUAAUAGAUCUCAUUUUGAAAUGCUGUUUGGGACAUAUCCACUUCUUACUCAUUUAAGAAUAUUUGGGUGUGCAUGCUUUCCUUUACUCAAGCCAUAUAAUAGUACCAAGUUGCAGGCCAAAUCUACAAAGUGUGUGUUAUUGGGUAUGCCACAAAAUAUAAAGGCUAUAUGUGUUAUCAUGUACUUACAAAGAGAGUGUUUGUAUCUAGGCAUGUCAUUUUUGAUGAACAACACUUCCCAUAUACAGACUUGUUGGCAUCACAUUCAACUUUACUUGCAUCACCACAAACACAUCAUAGUUCACAUGGUCCUGUGCCUAUGGUUACUUCAAAAAACAUCAUUGUCCUACCUAUAUCACACUCAUCUCAUAGCAGUCCUAGUGUUUCUACACCUGACACAACAAAUAUACCAACCUCAGUCUCAUUAUCACCUUUAACCUGUGUUUCAGCUGAUAUUUCUGCAAGUCCUCAGUCCAUUACUGCUUCAAGACAAGCUUCUUCUCUGAUCCCUGUGGCACCUGACAUAAGUUAUACUUAUGCAACAUAAUCCAAUGAGUUUAAUCCUAAUACUCUGCAAGUGGUAUUGUUCAUUCCACCACUCAAUUUGCAUUCCAUGCAAACUAGAAGCAAGAGUGGUAUUAUUAAAAAGAAAGCUCUCUUAGCACAUGUUCAGGAUUUUGGAGGAACUGAUAUAUCAUUGGUUGAACCAACAAGUUAUAAAUCAACAAUUAAAGUCCCUAUGUGGUUAGCAGCUUUGCAAGAAGAAGUCAAUGCAUUACAUGCUCAAGGAACUUGGAGUCUAGUUCCAUUACCUGCCAACAAAAACCUGGUUGGUUGCAAAUGGAUUUUCAAGAUUAAGAAGCACUCUGAAGGGUCCAUUGCUAGGCACAAAGCAUGGUUAGUUGCUAAGGGUUUCAGUCAAGAACCAAGAUUGGAUUAUAGGGAGACCUUUAGUCCUGUGGUUCAGCCUACCACGGUAAGGUUAGUUCUUGCUCUUGCUGCACAUUUUAAUUGGCCUCUUAGACAAUUAGAUGUCAAAAAUGCAUUUCUGCAUGGAAUUCUUCAAGAGAAUGUAUAUAUGUCUCAACCUCCUGGUUUUGAAGAUCCAACUCAUCCUCAUCUAGUGUGCAAGCUGCAUAAGUCUUUGUAUGGAUUAAAAUAGGCUCAUUGGGCCUGGAAUGAAAGGUUCACUCAGUUUUUUCCUUCUUUGGGAUUUUCAAACACAUACUCUGAUUCAUCAUUGUUUGUUAAACAUGUUGGAAGUGAAAUGGUGGUGUUGUUACUCUACGUGGAUGAUAUAAUCAUUACUUGAAGUGCAUCUGAUGCAAUAUCACAGGUUAUUAGUGCUCUUACUGCUGAGUUUGAUAUCAAGGAUUUAGGGCCAUUACACUAUUUCUUGGGCAUACAAAUUAUCAAAAUUGCAACUGGUUUGUUUCUGUCACAAGCCAAGUAUAUUCAAGAUUUUUUGGUGAAAUCUAAAAUGCUUGAUGCUAAACCUUGUGAUACACCAUGCCUCCCUUACAAUAGGUUGCUCAAAUCCUGGUUUAUAUAGAAGCAUAGUGGGGGCAUUACAAUACUGAACUUUUACAAGGCCAGAUAUUGCUUUUUCAGUGCACCAAGUCUGUCAGUUUAUGCAGAAUCCAAUGGUGUCUCAUUUCACUGCAGUUAAACGCAUUCUACGAUAUCUCAAGGGAACCAUGCAGUUUGGUAUAUCCUACACUAGGGGAGAUUUGCAGUUAAAGGCCUUUAGUGAUGCUGAUUGGGCAGAGGACCCUAAUGAUAGAAGGUCAACUACUGGUUUGGUGGUGUUCUUGGGUAACAAUCUUAUUUCUUGGUCCUCUAAGAAGCAACAAGCUGUUUCUUGAUCUUCAACAGAAGUUGAAUAUCGAGCAUUGUCAUUCACCUCCGCUGAGUUGGAUUGGAUCAUACAAUUAUUAGCAUUUAUGCAUAUACCAUUGCUUAAUGUUCUGGUGCUGUUCCGUGACAACCUCUCUGCAAUUGCUUUAUCCUUUAAUCCUGUUCAUAAUCAAAAGACUAAACACAUUGAAAUAGAUGUGCAUUUUGUCAGAGAAAGGGUUUCUCAUAAACAACUCUCUGUACAGUUUGUGUCUUCCCAUGAGCAAUUUGCUAAUAUUCUUACAAAAGGCUUAAGUGGUCCACUUUUUCGAACUCAUUGCUGCAAUCUCAUGCUUGGUUCUUGAUGGGGGAUAUUAGAGUAUAGUGCUUAAGAUUGAGACAUUUGUCAUAAUCCUAUCAUAUCAGUUAGUUAGGUUGUUAGCUUUGUAGCUUAUAACAACCUAUACAAGACUAACCUCAUGUAAUUACUUACUGAUUAAGAAAUAUACAGAUUGUUCUUCUUCUCUUUAACAUUCUCUUAUCUCUCUCUAAAAUUCUCCUCUAUUCUUCCUUCAAUAUACAAGAUUACAUUGUAUGAAUGAUCAAUUGAUAUAGCUUAACAAUUGUGUAGGGGAGCCGAGGUUUAACUGGGAUAAGGGUUUUAAGAGUUCAAAACCUUCCGUGUGAGCGUAGCUUAAUUAAGAGUGAACCACAUAAAUCUAUAGUGUUGUCUGAAUGCAUGUAGCUCAAUUUCUGUUUACAAACUGCAACCUUAAACAUUAAGUCUAGUUUGGCAGCUUGUAUAAGAAACCGGAUAAUAUUGAUAAGAGUGAUGUUACAAUUAACACAUAUUUGUAUGAUCAUUUGUAUCAUCUCUAAUAGAGGUAGGGUCUACCAAUACAUAUGGAUUCCAUUUCUACUAGAGAGAUUAUAUACAAAUGAUGAUAUAAAUAUGUGGUAAGAGUAACAUUUUUGUAAUAAUAAUACAAACCCAAUUGUUUGAUGCCUUAUGUGUAAAAUAGUCUCAUCUCUAUUAGAGAGAUUAUACGGACCCGAAUGCCAUAGUUCAUAUGCCAAAUUAGUGCUGAAAUAGUCAGUACAGUCCAACGUACCAAACGAGGCUUAGAACUCUCAUAUAUACCCUAGGCUUAUUUUGCAUGAACUGCUCAAUUAUGUCGAGCUAAUCUGGAAGGAUUAUCCAAUCUCAAUCUCAAACUAAUUUAAGUCAACACAUGGAUUUUAAAUUUCUCAUACAUAGCAAAGCACAAAGAUUUGUCAUUAACCCAAAACUACUUCGGUUUCUUUCCGUUGUUGUGCAUUUGAAAAUAAUCAUAAUCAAGUUCAACGUGCCCUAGCAAAAACUUACUAGAUAAAAGUAAAAAGAAAGAGAAAUAUAGCUUCCUAUGCCUUCCCCGAAAACCAAUUUAUUAUCGUUUUGAAAGAAAAAAAAAAAGUCCCAAAUCUCAAUGGUCCAAACUUCUAAAAAAUUUGGGAGUAAUUAUAAUAUAACACCAACCGAUCGACCUUCUGGCAAGUAUAAAAAAGUUAUGUACCAUAUUGUUUAGCUAGAUGAAAGAGAAGCAAAAGCAGAAAUGUAAACCUUCUGUCUACCAGAAAAAAAAAUAUCUUCACGGUCCAUUUUUUUCAUGGGAUACUAUUGUAAGAGUAUGAGUAUGAGUAUGAGUUAAACAUUAAGAGCAGGAUUGUGUAAAUCUUUGUAUGGAAAGUCUUGUUAAUAAGCUUGGAGAAAUCCUAUUUAUUGUAGAAUUGUGAGUACUGGAAGUAGUCCAAAUUGGCAUGGGACUGAACUUAGUGUCACGAGUCUUAUUCAUUCAUAUUGUAAUAUGGGUUACUUGUGUGAGUUCCAUAAGGUUUCUAAUAGGAGAAUAUUUGGAACAAUACUAUAUAUAAACCUAGCCACUGCUCUUGCAAAGGUCUGAUCAUAUUAUUCCGAAUACCUAGUGUUUGGAGAGUGCUUGUGCUUUGUUAAAGAGGAGAAGGUUAAAUUGUUUAUGAAGAAGCUGCACUGGCUUCAUCUUCCAUCUCUGGUUCUGCAGGUUAGUUAGUGUGCAGGUUUUAAUGUUUUUCCUCAGCAUGAUUAGGAUAGGUUCAUAUCUUGUUCUUUACUUUUGAUAAUUCAAUUGGCUAGCUUGUGUUCUGUGGGAUCGAGAUAUAUGUGUGUAUAUAUAUGUCUUACAACUAUAUAUAGGCCUCAUGAAAAUCCCUUAUUUAAAUUGAAAAUGUUUUAUAUAUUGGCUAAACUGUAGCUGCUUGAUAGUAUAUGAUCAAGUUAAUUUGACAGAGAGAUUAAUUUCUUUUCUCUCUUUUGCCCUAGGUUAACCUGGGUAUAUACAUAGAAACCUCCCACGAAGUACUUCGUACAGCAUGUGUGAAAUUUCUAGUAUAGAAGUCACACUAACCAUAAGAUCACUAAGAUUGUGCAACCAUCACCGGCAAAGAGCGAAGUCAGAUUACAAUUCUGUGAUUUCCUGAAAUGAAGACUUUCCUCCUCCCCAGAAAUGAGGGAAGUUUUAUCCUUGCAUAACUCUAUCUCUAAACCCUAAUUAAACACAAAAGACAGAGCAAACUCAAAGUAGUUAUUUCUGAGAUUGUGUAACUAAUCUAUCCCUCUGAAGUAUUUGACUGUAGCUAGCCUGCAAAGGUCACUGUGCUUCUUCUUGCACUGCUAUGACGAUGCCUAAGACGAGUAGUACAAUCCUCUAGGUGACCUUUCAAACCCAAAAAGUCGUAUUCAUAUGCUAUAAAUAUAUGAUAAGAGUAGCAUUUAUAUAUCACCAGGACUUUCUUGGGUACUCCUUUUUUGUGUGCUCUGAAGUACCCGGUACUCCAAGAGUUUUAAUUGUCAAAUUUUUAGUUGAAAAUAUAAAAAUUAAAAUCCGACUGUUAAAACAACCGAGAGUUUUUUAAUAUCUCCUCUCUGAAUCAUCACAAUCAUGAUUGCUUUGCCAGUAGCCCCAUUAAACUUUUCAGGAAAAAGGAAAAUAAAAGGAAAUUUAUUAAAAGCUAUAAAAAGAUCAGUUGUUGCUUUCUCAUAUCAUCAAACCCUACAGCGUUAAAGUUCUUUUCGAAUUAAACCUCAAAUAUUAGUUUUAUUCUUUAUUAAACUUGCGAAUUGCUUGUGAUUUGCUACCCAUUUACUGGGAAUGGGGUGCAACCUAGCUGAUCCAAUUGAGAGUUUAGAAUGGUGUUUAAUAAUGAAUUUCUUACCCUCCUGAUUUAUUAUUCAUACAACUGCUACUUAGUUAUAAGCUCAUGCUACAACUGCUCUGACAAACCUCAACUAUUAGAAUUUGUUCUUUACUUAGUUGGAGGCUCACGUUACAAAAGCUCAGACAAACCUAAAAUAUUAGUGUUUCUUAUCUUUAUACUCAAUAUAUGUGGGAUGAUCUGCACCCCUCAAUCUUCGUGCCCUACUGCAUGCAGUAUAUGUUUCAUUAAUUUUAACGGUCAUGUGACUCAAAACUUUUGUUGCCUUUGUCUCUACAAUAUUUCCAAAAGUAGCUUUAAUCACUCGUCUCAGCAUAUACGGUUCUUCAAUUUAAACUCUUAUAAUGAUGCAAGAACCCUAGAUCUAAUUAAUUCGCAACUAAGAUUUGUACCGCUGUGCAGCAAUACUGCUGAAAUCAAACAAAAAAAGGACAAAGAAGCAAAAGGAGUAGCAGCAGCAGCAGCAGUGCUGUGGCAAAGCUUAGCAAAUAAUUUAUUAGGUAAGAUGACAAUUGAUCGAUAAUAGGAUAACAAAACAAAACCUAAAUAUAUAGAUGAACAAGUAGCUAUAUAGAAACAACCAUUAUUUUUGGUAAAUUCUAUAUCUGCUUGUUAAAAAGCACACCACACGCUCCUCUCAUAAGAUCAUCACAACAAU
This 74030-nucleotide long non-coding RNA is filed under the name Malus domestica (apple). RNAcentral describes it as "long non-coding RNA (MDOM_LNC014742)". Lineage: Eukaryota; Viridiplantae; Streptophyta; Magnoliopsida; Rosales; Rosaceae. The record is from RNAcentral.